RNAcentral lists this long non-coding RNA (48070 nucleotides) under Vigna radiata. RNAcentral describes it as "long non-coding RNA (VRAD_LNC007438)". The stretch from base 483 to 590 matches the Rfam family "MIR396 microRNA precursor family". The record is from RNAcentral. Lineage: Eukaryota; Viridiplantae; Streptophyta; Magnoliopsida; Fabales; Fabaceae.
CCUGGUCACAUGGUGGCAUGUGAGGGGGGGGAAUGGGAAUGGUUUUUGAAAUAUAAAUAAAUAUUAAUUUUAUAUUUUUUGUGUUUAUUUUGUUGGUUAAAAUCUGAUUUGGUUGUGAAUUAGAUUUCUUUUAUUGAUUUGUCUUUUUUGGAAAGAUUAUUGUUGUUUACCCAUCUGACGUGUUUGUAUGUGACCCACUGCGCACUCACCGGGAAAGUAAGCCAUUUUGAGGGUAAAUUGAAGCUUUGUAAGUGAAGUGAACCCCUCCAACUCUCUCAUCUCAUAUCUAUAAAGCUGGUACAUUCAUAUUAUAAAUGGUAGAGUGGUCCACGAUAACUUUGUAUGGGCAUGCUUAUUUCUCACUUCUUACUACUUCUCACUUCUCAUUUCUCACCCCUUUACUUUCCUUCUUCCCUUCUUCUUCUAUUUCUUCUUCUUCUUCUUCUUCGAGAUCUGACCUCAAUUUUCCUCUCUCAAGUCCUCGUCAUGCUUUUCCACAGCUUUCUUGAACUUCUUAUGCAUCUUGUAUCUUUCCACCUUCAGGAUUUUAAGCCCUAGAAGCUCAAGAAAGCUGUGGGAGAAUAUGGCAAUUCGGGCUUUAUUUUCUUUCGUAAUUCUCUCAUCUUGCAAGAUUCACGGGACAUGGCUCUUCAAUUCUCUCAUCCUUAUUAUCACUUUCAUCCACGGUAACUCUCACUACCACUCUCUUUCUUCUUAAUUAUCUUCUACCAGCCCUCUCUCUCUCUCUGAUGUUGAUGUCUUAUGUGCUUAAUCAUCUCCUAAUCUACGAAUUUUAUAGCUUUCUUAUGUCUCAGAUUCACUUUACCUGCUGCUGCUUUUAUACAUACCCUUGCGAUCCCUUCAAAUCCUUUUCUUUUCUUUUCUUUUCUCUCUGUUCAAUUUCUUUUACUGUGACAAAAUUGCUAGGUUCUCAUGGAUCAACAAUCACAAUGUGGGGUUUCUUUUAUAUUACCCUUCUUAUGAUAGGGUUCAAAAGCAAAAAGAAAAUAUAUAUGUUAAAUCUGGUGCCACUACACGUUUGAGCCAUGCAAGGUGAGGGGCAGUAGAAAAUUAAUUUAUUUUAAUUUUAAUUUUUUUGUAGAAAAAUUUAAUGUUUCCUAGUUGUCUGUGGAAUUAGGUGAAGUUUCCCAUUAACUAAUUUACCUCUAAAAAUCUGGUUCAUUCAAUCAAAUGGUGAAAAAAAAAAGGUAAUGCUUGCAGAGAAGAUUCCCCAGCUUUCCUUUUUAUCAUUAAUGAUGAUAGUUCUUCCUGUUGCCCUUUUAGUUUAGUGAAUCCACAUCUUCUCCUACAUUUCUGUGAAAAAGGUUAAACUUUGUCACUACGUGACAUCAUUUUUUUAACCACUCCUCUCUCCUGACAUCAUUUGGCCUAUUGAUUUUCAAUUCUCUCUCUCUCUAUCGUUUUCUCUUUCACCCUCUCCUCUGGCUGGCUGUCUCUUUCUCUCUAGAAACCCAAGUUGGUGCUGAAAUCUUGGGUAAUUUAUUAAUCUAAUAAUUAAAUGAAAUUUAUCCCACUUACAGUUUUACAAGCUCACAUGACAUGCUCACACACAAACUUUCUCUAGAUCACUGUCUAUGUUGCAGACUGCAUUGUAGUAAAGAGCUAAAGACACCCAAUUUGGCAUACGAAUCUGAAAAUCAAUUGAAUUUUCUCCCAAAUAAGCUUCUGGGCAUGGCAGAAUCUAGGUGUGUAAUUGUUAGCCUAGUGAGAGGGAUUAAUUAUAGUAUUGCUAUUGUGUAAGAUAAAACGGAGAACCUUUACCAAAUAUAAGGCACAUGUUUUCAUACACUUGGAACCUUUAGCUUAAGGGAAUGCCACAAGUUGUGCACAGAAGUAGGACCACCAAAAAUCAGAUUAAUUCAGACAAACACGGACGCAUGGCAUUUCUCUGCAUCUUCGUAUAUAUUGGAUAUCAUAACUAUAUCCAUCAUCAACAGCUACCCAGUGUGUGUCAUCCUACCAAAUAUAUAUUUAUAUAUAUAUAUCCCUUUUCCUUUUCUUUUUUCACUGCGUUCAGAGAAAUAGUGAAAAUUUUGAACACGGGAACACGAAACCCAUUGAGUAUUCCAUGAAACAGAUUUGUGAAUCGUGACACGACAUCGUGUGUGAGUUACCAGAGACACAGAGCUACAACUGAUCAUCGAUGCACAGUGAAGCCUUCAAUGACAUGAACUGAAUCCUCAGUUAAAUUUCCUAGUACGGAAUUAUUCGUGUUUUAGAGACCACUGUGCAACAUAUAUAUAUAAAUGUGGUAUUUCACUUUGUUUAUUUUUCUUAUAUAUGAAGCUAAACAGGAAUGUGUCAGUUGCCAUGCAGUGUAACUUGUUCCUCGUUGUUGCAGUGCUGCUUGCUACAAGUUCUUAAUAUGUUAACCUAAUUUCAAAUGAGAAAACUUAAACAUCGGCAAUGGCAAUGGGCCUCUAGCUUUCAUGGCACCUCAACAAAGGUAUAUAUGGGAAUGUUCCGAUUCAUGCACCUAACCAAAUGUUAUUGUAAUUAAAACCCCAAAAUAAUGGUUUUCCCUUUUACUUUUCAACAAAAAUAUCUGUUUUCCCUUUGAUUUGUCGUUUAUGAGAAAUUAGAAAGACAUUCUGCUCGACACAAACAUUUUUAAAAAGAGCACAGAUUCUCUCUCUCUUUUUUAACAAUAAACAAGUUCACAUGCUCAUUCAUGGUAUUCACUCACUUAAACCUUGCAUAUAUAGCUUAUCUUAUUCCACUCACACUCAAACAAAAAAACAUUACAUUUCACAUUUUUAAAAAUUAACUACAUUUUAUAGAACGAUAAGAAUAAAGUACAAUUUUAUUUUGGAUUAAUUAGUGUUAGAAUUUUUUCUGACGAUUUAUUUUUUAUAUAUUUUUAUUUUCUCUUCCACUUAUUCAAACAAAGAAAGAGAAAUUUGUUAACUUCUUCCCUUUUUAUUAUUCAUAUUAUAAUAUAUCCACUCUAUUUUUCGUUCCUAUUUUUAAUCUUUGUGCUCAAUUAUUUUUCUCUCUCAUUUUCACUUUCAUUCUAAGUAGACAUAGAUAAUGAAAGGUAUCUUCAGAUGAAUUUCACUAUUGAUGAGAGAUUUAACCUAAUUAUCGCAUUCAAUUAUUCAGAAGUUAAUCACGUAUAAUUAAAGAGAGAGAAGGCAAGAGACUCUUACUAAAACAAUGAAGAAAUUGACCACAUAUUCAGUUUAAGCAAUUACAAUUAUUUAUCAACUCCUAUGUCAUAAGUUUGAAUUUUUGUUUUUCUUAAUGGAAAUACUUUUAGAAAUUCUUCCUAUACAUUAACGUUUUUUUCAAGGUAUUGUCAAUAUCAUUCGGCCAUUUUCUUUACCCUACCUAGGCAUAUAACUUGAUCAUUAUUUAUAUUUGUGUAUUUAAAUUCAAUAUCAUUAAUUUUAUUUCAAUUUCAAUUUAAUUUAUUGGCAGCUAGUCCAAAAGUUUCUUUCUCAAAUCACUCGCUUUUUAUUUUAUUCAUAUAUUCAAAUUUUUAAACGUAUUAUAUGUUACAAUCCACCUAUUCAUAUUUUUUAAAAAUAAAUGUUAGCAAAAAUAUCAUUAGUAAAUAUAAUAAUAAUAAUAAUAGUACGUUAAAAAUUCAUUUAAUGUAAGUUUUAAUUGUAAUAAAAUCAUAUAUACUACACAUAUUUAUAAUUUAUAUAUUAUGUGCACAUAGAACACUAAAAUACUAGUUUCAAUUAAUUAUACCAUAUAGUUUUUUUAUUUUAUUUUAGGAAUGAUGUUCUUUUCCAUGUUUUAUAGAAGUUCUUCAGAAAUUAAAUGAGAUGGAAGAGGAAGAGAGCGAGAAAAAAAUGAAUAAAAAAUGUGUUGUAAAAAUUCCUUCUCUUUUCUCCUCAAAUGCUUUUGAUCUUACCUAGAGAAUGGAAUCAAAAGAAAAUGUCUGGUAGCAAACCGCAACAUUCGAACGGUUCCAUCAUACCUUUUUAAUCAAUAAAAUAAUAAUUCAAAAAAUUGGAAUAUUCAUGAGCAAACGAAUUUAGCAUACCAAAAGGCAACACACCCUUAGGAUCCGUACGUGUUUUGGAAUAGAAUUUAGGGGGAAACGGUAGGUUAUAGAUAAAAUCACUCAUUCAUAAAACAAAUUGAUACAACAUUUGAAAAACUUUAUUGUAUUUUUUCACAAUUCUCUAUCACAUCAAUCAUCUCUUUUUUUUCUCUCUCUCAGCACCACUUUCCACACAAAAUUUUGCACCUAUACAAAAACUUUCUCAACAAAAAAAGAAAUUGUACGUAUUUUGUACUCCAAUCAACAUCAAGGUGCUUAUAAUGGAAGAGGAAGGUAAGAUGUUUACAGGGUUGAAUUUGAAGUGGAAAAGUAGGUAGUUGCAAUUAAGCAUGAAUAUCCAUUGCAGUAAUUGGAGCUAAUAAGAGUUCUUGACGAAAUGAAUAUCCAUUGUUGAUUUUGAGCCUCAUAUUCAUUAGAGGAUAAAACGGGUUGCAAUCAAGUGUGUAGGAUUGUGAUAUUAAGCAUAAUGUCGGCAGGAUCCGUUAGAAUUGGCUGUGUAUUCAGAUUACACGCCCCGUGAAAGAAGAUUGAAAAAAUGAGUGUUAUUUACAGUGACAUGAAUGAGAGUGAGUGAUGAAAUGGCAACAAUAACAAUUCAUGGUAGGGUAUGGUAUUGACGUAAGUAACUGUAACUUGCUGAUCAAACGCCCAAUCAAAAUAAUAACACUUCCCCCUUUCCGAUGUGAAAGUGCCAAUAUAACAAUAAAAGGAAACUAUGUUGACCCGUGAUGGGAAAUUAUAAAUCGUACACAUAGCCACAACAAUCAUCAUCAACUAUAUAUAUAUAUAUAAGUUUCAACUUGGGUAUUAUGCCUCACCCUCUAUCAUGCCAAUUAAUUUCUUACAUUCUUUCUUCCUAUUACUUUCCGGAAAUUAAUAGUUAACAGUGAAUGUGAAUGCACACACAAAUUAAAAGCUGAAAUUUAAAGUGUAUAUGUAUAUACACUUAAUAAAUACUACUGUUUUCAUAUAUCCCAGAAAUUCGUAUGAUAUAUUAUUUUGUGAGGUUAUGAUCGAAAUAAAGACUUGUUGUUCUAUAUAGCUGGAUGAAGGCAACGUGAUAAGCUAAAAGCUCAUCAAGGGUUAUAAUAAUGUUGUGAAUAAUUUAAAAAUGUGAUAGUUGUUAGCCACAAGACAAAAGGGGCACUGCUAAGACAGCAAGAUCAAGAGAAUUGUCUAUUAGUUUAUUGCCUCUCCAUCGUUUAACUCUUUUCACCAAUCUUCCACUCUUGCAUAUCGCGGAACACAAUGAAAUCUAACUUUUUCAGUUUAAUAUUUCUCUAAAGUGAAAACUGGCUAGUGAAACAUAAUUAAAUCAGACAAACAAUUCCCGCAAUCCACAUCAUUUGACUACCAUACAUCAGAUCCAUCACAAAGGAUUAAACUAAAGGAAAUAAUAUAGGAAGGAUAACCAUGAGUGAAAAGGCAUAUUUUAAGAACAGUAUAGAUCCAAACAAGCAAAAGCAGGACAUCAUGUUCAAUCAGUUUAAAGUUAUUUAUCAUCCGCUUAAAAAAACAAAAAACAAACAAACAAAGCCAUAGAAUGAGGAACAAGUUAGAAUAUGUAUGUUAGAUUAGUGGGUUACAGUAGGAUUAGGAUAUAGAUUUUGCAAAUAAAGUGGCAUGCUCAUACGACUUUUACAAUGUCUUUUGGAAAAGGAAAGAAAAAAAUGGAGUUGUUUAUUGGAGGGAGUCAUAGUGCUCGUGAAUGCACCAACUAAAAGUCCUAGUAAAGUUGAUGGCGCUGAAGCUCACCAUUUUGUCGGAUUUAACAGUGAGAGACACAAAAUGAAGGAAAAAGAAUAACCCCUUGUGGAAAAUUGAUAUUAAUAUCGGGAUCGGCCACUUCUUUUUCUAGGCCAUGCAAGAUCGAUUGCUUUAUCUAUAACUUGAAAUUGCUUUUACCGUUUCUAAUUUCAAAAUCUUUCGGGAGAAACAAAAGGGGUCUCAUUCGAACUGAUUCUCGGCACAGGGAAGCAAGAUAAAGAAAGAAACAGUACUCGCAGGUGGUCUAAAAUUCCCAUUUCCCGCAGCAUGGCUGUCCCUGACUUAAUUGGGAAAAGGAAAACCCUAGUUUCCUUCACAAGCAGCUCCUGCACUGGUUUUAGGUAGCCUUGUUCGUUCUAUAGCAAGAAUCACCAUAAUACAGUCCUGGAGGUUAAUUUUUUACAAUUCUAUGGUUAAUAUUUUCCAUAAAAGCUUCAUCUAACCUCUUGCUAGGGUCACCAACCAAUGGCUUUAAAGCAUUCAUAAGUUGUUGGAAGUUCCAUACGAGAGAUAAAGGCAGUAUGGUCACCUCUCUGUGGUCCAUUGUCUAACAAUCUGUAACUGAAAAUGUUCCUUCUAGUUAGUCCCGUGCACCCAAAACAAAAAUUGUUUGUUGUGACUUGCAGAUAUUUUUUUUAAAAAGAAUAUCUUGAUCUACAAAGGUAGGAUGAAUCUAUAUAUAUAUAUAUAUAUAUAUAUAUAUAUAUAUAUAUAUAUAUACACACACACACACACACACUCUUUUAUUUUUGUUAGUCAAGAUAAGAACCGUAUAAUUGUUCCUAGCUUCCUAAUAUAAUAUAAGUAACAACAGUCCUGAUUAAUUAAUGCAUACUAACUUCUGCUUAUGCUGAAUCUGCAGCCUGGAAUUUAUAUAUUAAAUUACUCGACCAUCUGUGACUUUGCCGACUAAAACAGUACAAGCACAGAUCAAAGGUUUAAUGAAUUGAAGGAGACAUGUUCUAUGGAGAAAUCUCAAUGAUGGCCAUUCAUCCACUGUAACUUGUAACUUCUGCCUGCAUUGGAGGCUACACAACAUAUAGACCAUUUCAGAACAGAAGAAAAAGGCUAAUAAGGUGAGUGAGUGAGUGAGUGAGCGAGUGAGCUCAAGACAAAAGCACAAGCAGCUAACAAGCACAAAUUAUUAUAAUUAUUAUAUUCACCAGAGACAGCACUAGAGCUAGCUACAACACGAAAACGAAAAGAAAAAAUAUUUUUAAAUCAAACGGCUAUGCCUACGCGAUGCAUCAUCACGAAUCAAUAAUGUUGAUGUACAAAUUAACAACCACCAUCUUCCAAUAGAUGUUCCUAUACCUCAAGUUCGAGCCUGGGAUUGCUCCACAAAAUUAAUUAAGAGGAAAUUAAAUAGGGGCAUGAAAUUAAGGCAAACAAAUAUAACGGACUCGGAAGAAAUUAAUUAGAGUAAGAUCUGGGGAAAAAGUCUGCACAGUGAUUCCACAUCUAUGGAAAUCGUUAGCUCAAGUUUCCUUGAUUUUGGAUCGAUCGAAUCAAUACCUGAUCGGUUUGAUUCCGGAAGAAGAAGCCGAAUUGUUGAGGAAUCAUCGUCACAAAUCAACACAAUCGGUACAAGUUAAUUCUCUCAUAGGACUGCAUAUCAGAAUUCUGAUCACAUAACAGAGUUAUGCAUCAGAAAAGUCAAUGCUUUAAAUCUGAAAAAGAUUUAAAUAAGUCAAAUCAGAAGAAAAAGGAAAAACAAAUACACCAGUAUAAUCUUAUCCCGAUGUAUAUAAUAAUAUAAUUUGACAGAAAGGUUUAGAGAGGAAGAAUCUGGAGUUUGAGAUAAGCUAGUUCGUUGUUGGACCUAUCUGUAUCUUCCCACAGCUUUAUUGAACCGCAAAAGAAGGUGUGGGAGCAAGAGUGCCAUGGCAUGCAUGCAAAGGAACUCUAUGGAUGCAGUUCAAGAAAGCUGUGGAAGAAUACAAAGAGGACCAUGAUAUUGAAGAGUGAAGAUGCCCCACAGACAGUGUAUAAAGGGUUUUUCAAAAACAAAAAGAAAGAGAAAAAAAUUGAAGAAGCAUGGAAGGUAGGUUCAUAACAUAAUCAGAACCCUAAUGAAGAGAAAGAAAGAGAGAGAGAGAGAGAGAGAGAGAGAGAGAGAGGGGUCCAGAAGAGAAAGAGAAUAGGAGAGGGUAAGCUAAGAGAGAGAAAAGAUGUAGGUGUAGUAGGGGAGGAGAUGGUGUGGUAUUUAUAGGAGAAUUUAGGAGUUUUUAUGAAGUUUUUUAUUUUAAUUUAAUUUUGUUUUUCCACCAAUCCCUAGAAGAAUAUCUGGCCCAAGAGACUACACAUUACUGAACCCCUCCUUUCUCGAACCCUAAUUAAAAAGCUGACUAAUUUGAUCCCAUUGGAGAUUAGACACCUAAUUAUAAUCCUUUUACUCGCGUAAAAUGCCAUUUAAUAUUUAUGCGGCUAUGAUGCACCUUUCCGGAUCUAACGGUGGUUGUUGCAUUUAUGGGGGGCACACCCUGGGCCCACCUCUAGAUCUGUCCAGUUUAUCCCAACUCCACGCGCUCCCUUCACUGUUCAUUAACAUAAGCCGUCCAAAUUAAUAAUAGUUUAUUAAGCAAACUAAUUCGUGAUUAACGGACAAAACAACGUAUAAAAUCAAACCACCCUUCCCAAAGCUGUCAUCUUAAUAAACCAUUUUCCAACAUCAAAUAAAUAAAUAAUCACUAAAUUAUUAUUCAACAUUUGUGAACCAUGCAACUAUAAUGACCCUAUAAAUGUUUUCUUUUUCGACUACAAACCAAUUCUUUCACCCAACCCAACGCUAAUAAAUAACAACAAACGUUAUGCUCAUGUUUCAUACUUAUUCAUUUCGACAAACACGUACGUUUCUUUUACUAAUCUGUACCCUUUUUCAAUAUAUUAGCUUUUACUUUUCUAUUUUAAAUAUCUUUUUAAUCAUUUUAAUUUUUACUUCUGUAAUUUUUUUUACUUUUUAUUUUUCUAAAAUAAAAAGUUUGUGUUUUUUGUCCCGAUACUCACUCACUUAUUUAUAGGUUGAAUAAAAAAUUUAAGUGAACCUUUCAAAUGAUAUCUCUAGUGUUAUUAUGAUAUAACUUCAACAAGCUCUUUAAAACAAAUUAAGAUUUGUAAAAUAUACUUGUUUAUCUACUGUCAUAUAUAUAAUUGUCUAUCUUGAUUUAAAAUAAAAUAAGAUUUGUUACUAAUGCAUAGUUAUCACAUAUAUUAAUACUUUAGUCGGAUCUCCACCACACUGCCAAAAUGUCUCGCCAAUGAUGAAGGUCUAGCAAAAAAAAAAAAAAAAAUCGUUCUCUACCAACAGAUACAAUAAGUGUAUAUCAAGAUUUCUUGACUACAUAGUAUAAUAAAAAGUCUAACAAAAAUAUAGAGUGGAGGAUAUAUAAUGUAAAUAUCAUUUUUUCUUAAUAGCUAAUGUCAAAUAAGAUUAAUGACAGUCGACAUUAAUAUAAUUUAUUUAUAUUUUUUAUUUUAGUAAUUGUUCUGUUAAUUUAAAUAUUUAUUUAAUAAAAAAUUUCAAAAUAAUUUUACAUGUUUUAAAAUAAUAUCUUAUGUCGUGUUAUUUGAUGCUAAUAACACCGCAUUUUAGUGAUGCUAAUAUUUAAAAAUUAAAUUUAUGUUUUUUAUAAUGAUUUAAUAAUAAAUUCUCAAAUUGGAUUCCAUCAUAUAUAUUAUAAUUUCUUACAAUGAAAAUGUGAUGGAAUAAUAGUUGUAAGUAGAAUUUUUUAAAAUUUAAAACAAUAAAAAACAACACAAACAUCUAAUAUAAUCAACAAUUCCAAUUUAUAAUUAAUCUCCGAUCAAUAUUUUUGUAAAUCGAUAGUAGCAGACGACUAAUUUUAUGAGAAUCAAAGUUAUAUAUUAAAUAAUUGUAUAUUUUUAUCUUGUUUCUAAUAUUAUAAUGUAAAUAAUCAUAUUAUUUAUAACUCAUUGUAUUUCAUAAUAUUGUUUUGAUACAACAUUACAAAGCAAAAAAUUUAAUAAGGUGUAUUUUUUAUUCUUGCCACAUAUUGAAAUAGUUAAAAAAUAAUUGAUAAAUUCUUCAAAUUUGGAUGAUUAAGAACAUUAAAAAAACACUAAAGUUGAAAUUUUAAACUAACUUUCUCUUGAAUAUGUAUAUAUUAGCAACUCAGUAAGAAAAGAACUAAUAACAAGCAAACGAAUAAGUAAAAAAAAAAAAAAAAAAAAAGUCCGACAAGCAAUAUAAUCAUUGUUCGUGUUUUCAAAUUCAAUAAUUAUUUGAGCUUUAUCUCUAAACCAAUCAAUGUUUUGGGACUCAUACUUUAAACAAUGAAGUAUAUUAUUAUAUUUUAAUAAAGGUUUAAACUUCUUUUUAGUCCCUAGUUUAGUUCCCGUUUUUAAAAAUAUAAAUAUUUGGUCCCUAAGUUAUAAAAAAUGUAUCAAAUGAGUCUUUUUUUUAUUUGAAAUACUGUUUUUAGUUGUUUCUUAACAACUGUUACAUCUUUAGAUAGAUUAGUCUAAUUUGUUUCUUAAUAAUAACAGCACUUUAGAUUGCUCUUUGUAUUUUGACCAUGAACAUCAAAAAAGGAUUCAUUUGAUACAUUUUUUAUAACUUAGGAAUCAAAGGUUUAUAACUUAGGGACCAAAAAGAGGUUUAAACCUUUAAUAAACAAUGACAAAAUUUUAGAAGGACAAAGGCUCUCUUAGUUCAUCUUUCAAGUAUUCAAUUUAAAACAUAAACAAAUAAUAUUGUUCCUAAGUAUAGAUAAAUACAAUAAAAUUACAAAGAAAACAAUAAAAUAGAAGAUCUGACUAACAAUUUUAUAUGAAAACAAUAAUUUUGUUUCAUCUGUAUUUCUUUGUUUCGAAUGAUUUUUAAGCUUAACUAAUGAAUCUCAUUUAUGACCUAUAACUUACAAAAUAUUCAUUUAUAGACAUAGGACAGAUUAUGAUCAUUAAAUAAAACUAUCGGAAUGAAGAAUUAGGGUUAGGGAUAGACAAAAUGAAUUAACUGAAAGACAGUGAAUAAGCCUUGGCUGAAAAUGAGUGAGAGAGUGAAAGAUAUAACACAUAAUUAUUGGAUAGCUGCGUUUAAUCAGCCUAGUCAAUGAAUGGUCUUCUAUUGUAUAGCUAUGUGCAUUGGGGACCCAUUUCUUUCAUUUCUUGCUAAUUGUUACACCAUACUACAAACUUAGCCUUACCACUCGCUGUCAUUAUUUUAUAACUUUCUCUACUAAUGCUUCACUUACAUGCUAAUUACUCGUUAAUUUUGUCAUGCCAAUACUUUUUUAUUUUUCACUGUUAACAUAAAUAUAUUUUAUUCCCAUUUAAAUAAUCUAAUUUUACGUUCAAACUAUUAUUUCAAAAAGAAAUUUAUUUUUUUGAAAAUUUACUUAAUCAUACUGUUAAGAAAAUUAAAUUAAAUUUUUGUAAAUUACAUUGAUACAAUAACGGACAUCUAACAUUAUUGCUUAUACAGCUAACAAUAAAUAUACGAUGUUACAACUAUUUAUCUUUUUAGAAUUUUAUUCCAAAAUUCACAAAUAUUUAAAAAAAAAAAACAGAGAGAGAAUAUAGUGUCUUUUUUCAGUUUAUUGGGUUCAUAUGAUUUUACAACGUAACUAAUUGAUUCUUUAAUCGAUAUAUAAUCUUUAUAGAAAAUACACCAUAGAAAAUACUUAUUUUGAAUUUAGGAUUAGCUUCCAUUACUUUCAUACAGCAAGCAUAUAUUUUUUUAAGUUGUAAUACAUGGAAAACAAAGUGUAAAUUUGAGAAUUUUUCACAAUUGGUGAUGGAAUUAAUCUUCUUUAAAUUUAGUUGAUAAUGUGUAAUGAAUUAAACUUAAAAUGACAAAAUCAACAAAUGUAACAAUAAUAUGAAAAGAGAACAAUAAUGAUUUCAAAGUUUAUUUAAUACAUAAUUAGAAUUAUAUAUGUUAAAGAACUCAAUGCAUAGAAUAAGAAAUACGAUUGAUAAACUUAAAGAGAAUAUGAGUUCAUCAAGCAUCCCAUUCUAGCAUUUGUUAAACAGGAUAUGAUAAGGUAAGAAAAGAGAGAUCAAGCAGAAAAACUAAAUUCCAAACAAAAGAAUGUUUCAAAGGAAAUCAGAGAAAGAAAGUCUUAUACUGCACAAUGUAAUUCCCAAUCAUGUAGUCACACCAAUAUUUGGCUCAUGGUAUCAUGUCUGGCCAAUUUUGGAUGAUCAAAUACAAAUCUAAGGUUUUGUUUAAAUUCUCUGUUUAACCAUCUGAUUAUGGAUGGUAAGCUGAAGUCAUUGCCAAAUUUGUGUCCUGCAUUAUAAAUAGUUACCUCCAAAAGUUGUUCAUAAACACCUUCUCCCGAUACGAUGCAAUAGCUUUUGGAAAUCCAUAUAUGUUCUAAAUAAAAGCUUCAGACACUAUUUUGCUAUCGAAUCCAAGCUUUAACUUUUUUAUUCAGCAUUCUUUUUAUAUGAUGCAAUUGAACAAUAUGCGAAACAUUGUCUAUUGUGGUGGCCAGACAAUGAAUAUCCUUGGCAUUCAUACAAAUCUCCACUAGCUUCUCCUUCAUUAUAGUAUUCUUUAUAGUGAAAGUCGAUUAAAGCACCAUUGUAAUGAAUUAAACUCAAAAUUAUAUAAUCAACCAAUGUAUUAGUGAUAUAAAAACAAAACAAUAGAAGUUCCAAAAUUUAUUUAACACGCAUUUAGAAUUAUAUCUGUUGAAUAAUUCAAUGUAUAAAAUAAGAAAUACGAUUGACACAAUAUCAUGUUAAACCCGAAGAGAAUGUGAGCUCAUCAAGCAUCUCAUUCAUGCAAUUGUUAAACAUGAUAUGUUGAGAUAACAAAAGAGAGUUCAAGCAGAAAAACUAAAUUCUGAAAGGAAUAAUGUUUUCAAAGAGAGAAAAUCUCAUACCACACGAUGCUAAUUCUCCAUCACAUAAUCACGUCAUUUAGUAUUCUCUUUGACACCUCUUAUAUGGUUCAUAAUAAAAGAUUGAAAAAAUAAUUCUGAUGUACUAUUUCAAAAGGUAAGGUAUCAUAUAUAUACAAACAAAGGAUCUUAUAAUUCUUUAUCUAUUAAAGGAAUGGCAGGUGCAUAAAUCUACACAAAUUAAAAUAAUAUAUAAAUUAUAACUAACAUAAUAUUUGAUUGCCUAAUAUCCCUUAAUAGAAUAUUUAGCAUAUCUUAACACCCUCGCUCAAGUUGGUGCAUGGAUAUCACACAUUCCCAUCCCAACUUGAAUAGAGACUCGUUAAACCAUCUUCUUGACACUCCUUUGGUGAGAUCAUCAGCCAACUGUAAUUCUGAUCUUACAAAAGGAAAUGAAAUUAUUUGUACUCUCUCCUUAUUAUGAAUAAGAAAUACAAUAUUUUAUUCUUUCUUCUUUUCUAACAUGGUAUCAGAGCAAUAUAAAAAAGGAAUAUAAGUAUAAAAAUAUAUAAACAUAAAUGCACAGAUAUGAACAGAGAAUAAAAUAAUUCCAAUACAAGCUUUUCUUUGAUGAAAUGUCUAUCAAUCUCCACAUGCUUUAUUCUAUCAUGUUGCACAGGAUUGUGAGCAAUUGCUAUGGCUAAAGUAUUGUCACAAUACAAACUCAUAGCUUCAUUUUGUUUAAAGCCUAAAUCUGAUAGCAAAUUUUUAAUCCACAAAAGCUCACAUACACUUAGUGUGCCAUGCCUCUGAAUUCUGCUUCAGCACUAGAUCUUGCUAGUACAGGUUUUUUUUACUCCUCCAAGUUACAAGAUUCCCUCCUACAAAAGUAAAGUAUCCAGAGGUAGAUCUUCUAUCAUCUUUUGAACCUGCCUAAUCUGCAUCAGUGUACCCUUCUACCUUUAAAUUUCCAUGAUUUGAGAACAAAAUUCCUUUUCCAGGAGCGAGCUUCAAAUAUCUCAAAAUCCUUUCAACAGCAUCCAUAUGAAGUUUUCGUGGGUCAUGCAUAAAUUGACUAACAACAUUCACUGCAUAUGUGAUAUCUAGACGUGUAUGGCACAAAUAAAUUAAUUUUCCUACUAACCUUUGGUAUCUUCCUCUGUCUAUGCUUGCUGAAUUUGAGCAUUGAAAGAGUUUAUGAUUUUGUUCAAUUGGUGUAUCAGCUGGUUUACUCCCAAGCAGCCCAGUUUCCAAUAGUAACUCAAUAAUAUAUUUUCUUUUGCAUAGAAAAAUAAAAUGUUUUGAUCUAACUACUUCAAUACCCAAAAAAUAUUUGAGGUUUCCAAAUUGUUUCAUCUCAAAUUCAUAUGCAAGAUGCCUUUAGAGUUCAUGAACUCUAUUAAUUCAGUCUUAAAAUAUUUUCCUCCAUUGUAUGAUCGAAUGACCUUAAUAGAUGUGUUAAAUUGUGUAACAAUCAGAUGAUAAAAUGAACGAAUCACAUCACACACAUCACUUUUAUGUUUAAGCACAUACCCAGGUUACCCGAGUACAAUCAUCAACAAAACUGAUAAACCAUUUUUUUUUCCAUUAUGUGUAGAUUGUGGGGGCAGGGCCCCAAUCAUCUGUGUGAAUUAAUGAAAAAGGAAAAUCAGUUUUGUUAUUGCUUAAAGGAAACACAACACGAUGAUUUUUUCCAAAACACAAGUUUCACAAAAAAAAUCCGAAAUAUUAUUGUAUUUAUGAAAUAGUGAUGGAAAUAAUUUUUUUAAAUAACCAAAAGAGAGAUGUUCGAACCGUUUAUGCCACAACCAAAUUUUUUUUUUGUUUUUAUCUUGUAUGUGAUCAUUCGCAAGACCAAUCAAUCAUCUUUUAUGGUUUUUUUGUGAGACAUUUUCAAGAUAAUACAGUCCUUCACUCUCUACCACUGACAAUCUUCUCCUUGGAAUGAAUGUUCUGAAAUGGGUUGGGUAAAACAAGGCAACACAAGAAUGUGAUUUGGUUAACUUACUGACGGAGAUAAGAUUACAGUUUAACGUAAGAACAAAUAAAACAUCAAGAAUCGAUAAGGAGGGUGAGAGGGAUGUAGUACCUAUGUGGCCCCUAAAACAAUUAUCCAAUCACUACCCUUAGUAACAACAGAAAUAUUAAGAGCAGAGUUAAAUAUACCUGACUUGGUUACAAAUUCGGCUUGGAAGCAGUAGAAGUUCCAGAAUCAUGUUUCUCCGAUUGAUUGUCAUCGGAAGAAAACAUCAGAAAUAUUCAAUGAAAAAAAGCAAUGAUUCCUAUAUUGUAGAGGAUACGAGUGUUUGGCUCUGAUACCAUAAUAAAGGUUUAAAGAAUAAUUCUGAUGUAUUAUUUCAAAUAGUAAAAUAUCAUAUAUAUAUAUAUAUAUAUAUAUAUAUAUAUAUAUAUAUAUAUAUAUAUAUAUAUUUAAGGAUGUUAUAAUUCUUCAUCUAUUUAAAGAAUGAUAGGUACACAAAUCUGCACAAAUUAAAAUAAUAUCUAGAUUAUAAAUAACACAAUAUUUGAUUGUCUAAUAUCCCUUAAUAAAAUAUUUAGCAUAUCUUAAGAGUUCAUUCUCAUUUUCUUCUUUGGACACCACUACCUUCAAGUAACUCUGUAAUAAUAGCCUUUUGUUUGUUACAUAAUGAUCUAAACUUCAAAGUUAUACCAAAUUUUGUAAUUGCUAAUUCUUCAAGAAAAUAUGAUUUAUAACUUUAAUGUCCAAUACUCUUCUUUAUCAUAAUAAUUAUUUUGUUUAUUUUUCAGCCAUGGAUAUUUCCCCGUAUUAGUCUAACUUUUUUUAACAUUUUUUAUCAUGUUUAAAGUAGGUAAAAUAUAUAGUACCCACUCUAUUCCAUUAUAAUAUAAUAAUAUACAAAUUCAUAUUGAAUAUUUUUAAGAAUACAAUCGUUGCAUGUUUGAUCAUUGAUUGUUUCUUCCUUCAUUCCAUCAAAUUUCUCCCUCCACCUCGUCGAAAAGCUUCUCAAUUUUAUUUUCUUAAUAGAAGGAGGUGAUUGCUUUCUAGAAAUAAAAUUCCAGAUUUGUUUAUAUUGUUUCGGAGAAUAAAUUCCGAAAUUGAUACGGUGUUAGAAGGAACAUGAGAGGGUGUAGGAAGCAAUAGCUUUGAUUAUUCUCAUUCUCAUAUAUAAAGAAAAACAACAUUCGCAUUUUGAUAUCGAAUGAGUAUAACUUUUUUUAUCAUACCUUCAUUUCUAUCAAAUUAUUGUAUAUAUCCACAAUAUAAAAAUAUUAAAAAAAAUAAAAAUAAUUAAAUGCAUUUUAUUCAAUAAAAUUGAUGUUUAUGAUACCUGAAAUGUUAUACAAUAUUUGAAUGAAAUUAUAGAAGAAGAAAAUGUAUGUAAUCCUAUAAUAAAGAAAAGUACCUUGUUAAACCCUUUGAAUAUUGAACAAGCCCAAUAGUAAUGAAUACAAAAUUGUAAAGAGAUAAAUUAAAAGUAAGAAAAAAUGGUUUUCAAAUAAUAAUGAAACUAAUAAAUUGUGGGUGUUUCAAUAAUUUAGAACUGCAAUAGAUAUGAGAAUAGGACCUAGGUAUAAAACUUGCUCUAGGGACAAGAUUAAUAUGUAUAUACUCGUCUUUAUCUUCUUACUCAUACUAAAACAAAAAAUGAUAUAUUAUCUAUACUUAUAUACCUAAAAUCAGAAUAAAUUUAAACAAUACUAACAACGAUAAGUUUAUUUGCAUUCUUAAUUGUUCUCUUUUUCUAACCAUCAAUUUAUGAAUAAUUAGUCAAACUAAUGCUUAACUUAGGUUCUAAAACUCUUUGCUUACUUUCUCAAAAUUAUAUCCUAAAUAUUUAUUUGUGUUUGAUAUAAUGUUGGAAGGAACUUAAUGUAAUAUGACUUUUACAUGUCUUAAAUACAUGUCAUAAAUUUAUGUUCGAUCAUACUUAACUGACAUAAUUUACAUUUAUUCGAUAAAGAUCGGAUAUAAAAUUUUUCUUUUACGUGUGAUGAAAUGUAAAUAUUAACCAAUUAUUUAUAAAUAUAUGAGCAUAUAAUUUUUUUUAUAUAUCUACUGUCUGCAUGAAUGAAUCUUUAAUCAUAUAAAUUAUUAUUGUUUCUAACAAAGUCUUAUUAAUAUUAAUUAUGAAGACUUUGCUACUAAUUCAGGAUUCUUACUUGAGAUGGAGAGAUAUGAAAAUUGAAAGAGGCGCGUGGAAAAGACGUGAAGUGGGUGCGGGUGUAGGAGGGGGAAGACAGUUAUAAAGAAAUGGAAAAGGAGAGGAAAGAAGGCCCGAAACGAGGAACAGAAACUUCGGGAUCAUAUGGCGGCACAUGGGAUAUAACCCCACUCCACCGCGUCUGUGCGUUGCUGCACCCACCUCCACCUCCACCUCCACCACCAACCACUCGCUCUCAACCUAAAACAACCACCCAUCGGAGAACUUAAAUUAAACACAACUACGUCUCUUUCUUUUUGGGUCCCAAAUCAACCUUUCCCUUGUUUUUGCCAUAUCUACCACUCUCCUUUUUCUCUUUCUCUAUUUCAAACACACAUCACAAUAUCUCCAAUUAAGCACCAAUUUUAAUGUUUCUCCAAUUCAACAAAGCAACAAAAAAAUCAAUAUCUUUAAUCAACUGCUUCUUCUUUUCUUCACCUUCACCUUUAUUGCUUAACAAAAACAAUCAACACCAUUCACUUAUCAUUCAUUUUCUGAAUUUUUUCAUCAAAGAACGGUGUCAGAAGUUUAGCAGUUGGCUUAAGAGAUCUGAAUUUGCUACAACUUCGUUUAUAACAUGAAAUUCAAUAAGAUUUUGUUGUCACACACGUCGAAGAUCGGAUUUAUAGUGUUUUGGCUGAGUUAAUUUUGAAGAAUCAUAGAUAAGAAUAACCGUGUCAUCAUAUAUAGGACACUUUUAAGAGGGGAAAAUGGAGGUGUAAUUAUGGAUAAGCUUAUUAAAAUAAGUGUUUUUAAAAUAAAUAAUUCAAUCAAAAUAUAACAAGUAUAUAAGAUUUACUAAAAUAAAUAUUUAAUUUAUUAGAAAAAAAGUUUUUUAAAAAUAGAUAAAUAAACCAGCUCUGUCGUAUAGAUAAAUUUGCUAGAUAUUUAUUUUGAAUGAGACAGACUUAAUGUAGAAGUUCUUUACACAACUUUUUCGUAACACAUUUGGCUUUUUCAACUAGAAAUUCUCAAUAUUAAGAAAAACACAUCUAUUAUAGAUAUAGUUAAGAUUCAAAUUAUUUAACAUAUAAAUGAUUUAGGAAUAUUACAAAUUGCUCUUUAUAUAUUAACAUGCUGCUGUAUCCAUUAAAAAUAAAUAAAUUUAUUUGCAAGCAAAACCUUCUACCAACUAAUAAAUUAAGACAACCUGAAAGUUAUAUACAUCUAAUAAAAUAUUAAUUUAGAAAAUAAAUAUGUAAUUUACUGAUUUAAUCUUAAUUGCUUUACUUAUAUUCUAAUCCUGUUAUAAUUGUUUUAUAUUUUUUUUAAAUAUUACAUAUAUAUAUAUAUAUAUAUAUAUAUAUGGGGUUUGCUAACUUACGUACGCCUGUUUUUUAGUUGGUACAUUUUAGCAAUGUGUACCGAGUUUCAGUAGACAAAAAUACACUUAUAUAUCAUGAAUUCUAAGUUUUAAGGUUAAGGGUAUUUUAAUAAUUUUCAUUCUCAAAAUUAAAAAAAGAAACCCCCAAACCCUUACCCAGCUCUCAUUCCUUUCAUCUCUCUCACUCCAACCUUUUCUCUCUCAUCUAUAGCCCCAAUUGAAAAAAAUUAGAAACACUUGCCUUAUUUUAAUAAUUUUCAUUCUCAAAACUAAAAAAAAACUUCAAAUCCUUACUCACCUCCUUCAUUCCUCUCAAUUCUUUCUCCUUCAUCUUCAUUAACUUGUUUUCCUUUACUAAAGAAAAAACAAAUCAAAAUACAAUAAAAUUCUCAACGAUACAAUCAAACAAUAAAAAUUCUAAAUCUUGAAAUUUUAUUUAAAAUUAUAUAAAGAAAAAAUCAGGUGCUUUAAUUUUUUUAUUUAUGUAAGUAUUUUUUUCUUUAACCAUUUUAUUUAAUAAUGAGUGUUUUUUUAGUUGGAACUAGUGCAAAGAUGACAAAGAAAAUGUUUGAGUGAGAGAGGUAAAGAAGAAAGGGUUGAGAGGAAUGAAGGAGGUGAGUAAAAGUUUGGGUUUUUUUUUUAGUUUUGAGAAUGAAAAUUAUUAAAAUAAGACAAGUGUUUCUAAUUUUUUUCAAUUGGGACUAGAGUAAAGAUGACAGAGAAAAGGUUGAAGUGGAAGAGAUGGAAGAGAAAGGGUUGAGAGGGAUGAGAGAGGUGAAUAAGGGUUUGGGGGAUUUCUUUUUUUCUUUUUUUAAUUUUGAGAAUAAAAAUUAUUAAAAUAACUUUAACCUUAAAACUUAGAAUUCAUGAUAUAAGGGUAUUUUUGUCUACUAAAUCCCGGUACAUAUUGCUAAAAUGUACCAACUGAAAAACAAAUGUACGCAAGUUAACAGACCCAUAUAUAUAUAUAUAUAUAUAUAUAUAUAUAUAUAUAUAUAACAAGAACAAUAAAAUAAUUAUGUUAAGAAUAAAUAUAAAUAUAAAUAUAAUACAUGAUAUGUUUUAUUGUGAAUUGUUUCAAUUAUUUAUAAUAGGUAUAUAGAAGGAAACACGAGACAAAAAUGUACACUUAAAGUUAGAUCAAUUCUUCGCAAUGUAUUGUAAUGUAAAUAAAAUCAUCAAUGAAAAGAUCGUUUUGCAAUAAGCUGCACAACUAUAAAUAUACGAUGAAGAAAUAUCAUGACCAUAGACCAACACAUUAUUUCUAAAAUGCUUAUAAACUUACUUUAUUUAUUUCACUAGUACAAAAAUAUUAUAUAAUGUCACGCAUUCUAAUCACUCAAUUGUCAACGUUAAAAAGACCAGUGACAUUUUUGUAAAUAAAUGUAAUUAUUAAAUGUCAAAAUUUAAUAAAAAUUUGAGCUGGAGAUUGAAAAUUCAUUCACUUUAUCUUAGUGAGCAAGACUCUCUUUUCUGCUCAAACUUUUCUUGAACGAAGUUUCACGACCAUCACAUGUAAUUUUUCUUUCAUUUGAUAUAAAUGCAUGUUAACUAACUACUUUAGUUAUGAUUUUUGUUUGUUUUCACCAAUUAUUUUCGCGUUCUUAUUCUUCAUAGGCUUAUUCUGCUUUCUUUCUCACUAGUGACAACACUUUAUUCUGAUGAACCCACCUUUUUGAAGGUUAGUUUUCGUUUUCGUUUUGAAAAACUUAUUUGUUGAACUUGUUUAUUGUUUUUUGUUGAACGUUGUUGUUUGGAUUAACUUGUUGUUUGAUUGAACUUGUUUGUUGUUUGUAAUUGCUCUUUGUUGUUGAUCCUAUAUUACCUUUCAUAGUUCAUGCUUUAUAAAAUACCAAAAACUGAAAUUUGUUCUUUUUCUACUUUUCAGAUCUCCGUAGAAUUAUAAAAAAAUUUCACAAUUAAUUAAAAAAAAUUGAUUAACGUCACAAAAUUCGACGUUAAAGAUUUGAUGUUAAAGUAAUGUUAAAUUGUUUAAAUUCGACUUCAAUUUAACGUCUCUCGAUAUAACGUCGUUCUCGAAUUCGACGUGAAAAGUAAAAAAAAAAGUUGACGUUGUAAGUUUUUUUUACGAGUGUUUCUUGUUUUUUUAUUAGUGGAAACUAGAAUACUUUGUUUCUUACAUAUCCUUUAAAGGAGUAAUUUUGUUUAGUUCAACAUUUUUUUUAUUUAUAAUAAAAGAUGAUAGUAAAUAACAUUUGAUAUUGUUAGUCUUUCAGAGAUCUUAAGAAGGGAUAAUCAUAAAUAACCUAUACAAAGUCAAAAUUAUAUAUAACUAAGAUUCAAUAGUUAUUACAAAAACUUCAAUAGUUUUCCAAAGAAUAACUAUUAUUUUUUUUAUGUUGAUGACUUUUGUUUAAGAGCAUAUUUUUAUGAAAAGAAAAAAAAAUAUAUCUUAUUUAUCUAUUAUCUUUAUAUUAUUAUUUGGUGAAAUAACUAAUCUUUGAUUGAAAUACGGUAAAAUAAAUUAAAUCAAUAGAUUCAUUUUAAGUAUAAUACAAUAAAUAUAUAAAAUAAAGGAAAAAAAUAAAAUAUUUUCAUGUCAUUUAAUUUAUUAAUCUAUGUACUUGUAGGUGUUUGAAGUCAGAUUAUAAUGUUUUUUAUUUAUAAAAAAAAGUCUGAAUCUUUUUUAGUUCAAUCCGUUAUAAAUUAAGUCAUGUUAAUCAAAUUAACUAACUGACACUUUUAAUUCUAUUUUUAAAAAUAUUCAAUAAUUUUUUCUUAAAAAUGACUAUUUUUUAAUAGUCUUUUUAACUGAUCUUUUAUCUACAAAAUUCAUACUUGGAUUAUUAUUUGAAAGUAGAGCUGUCAAAAUGGGUAACCCGGCCCGACCCAUCACGGGUUGGUCACUUAGUGAGUCAAUCUAAUCCGACUUAUUUAUUGGUGAGUCAGAAAAAUUUGAACCCGGCCCGACCCACCACGGGUUUGUGAGUAAACGGGUUGACUCACUGGUCCAUUUAAUUACAUUUUUUUUUUAAAUAAAACAAAAAUACAAACUUUCUAUAAUUUAAAUUUAAACAAUUUUCACUCCCAAAAUAGUGUUAAAGACAAUUCAAAAUAAUAAUAAAAAGUACAAUAUAAUCCAAAUGUCAUUAAAAAACAAAUACAAAAAACAUACAAAUAAGUUUCUUAUAUUCAUCAUUUUUUGUUCUGGUUGUAACCUUUGACCCUUGUUCUUGUUGUCUCCAAAUUCACUAAUAAAGAUUUUCCUAAUAUCAGAACAAUUCUGACAAUCAAUAAACAAAUAUUAGUAAAAAAAAAACAGAGAACCAGUACUCAACAACAUCAACAAAAAAAUUAAUAGUUUAAUUUGUACCAUGAUUUCCCAAAUUCAAAGAUAUCAAAAAGAGCUUGUUCAAAUAAUGUAUACUCAAAUUGUUUAAAUAAAAUGAACAAAAUUUGAUACAAGCAUGUCAGAACAUGAAAAAAUCAUUCCAUUUCUUCAAAUCCCCCAGAACAAAAAACAAAUUCGCAAAACCCUAUUUUUGUCAUUAUAGAGUUUUUGAAAAAAAAAAGAAAGAGAAGUGAGAAAACAAAAAUAUGGAGAAAAGAGAAGAAAAAAGGAAGGGUGGUUUACCUGCUCCUUGAAGAAUUUCAGUGAAGUGAGGGUGAGAGCACCCUCAAAUGAGAGCAAAUAUUGUGAGAGUGAUUUGUGAGAGCAGAUGUUACUAUUUUUGGUAUACACAGUGAAGAAAAAAGUAUUUUAUUUUUUAGGGUUUCAUAAAUAAAAUAAUAAAUUAAAAAAUAAAAUUAAGUAGAUGGUUUGGUGGGCCAACCCGGCGCACCACGGGUUCAACCCGCAUGAGCCGGGUUGAAAUCUGACCCGCAUAUAAGUAGGUUGUAUUUUUCAAACCCAACCCGGUCCGAACCCGUGACGGACCGGAUUGGUUCACGGAUUGUGACCCAUUUUGACGGUUCUACUUGAAAGAUUUCGAAGUAAACUCCAAUCUAAUCAUAUUAAGUAAAUAGAAACACAAAAUAUGUUUGCAAAUGGAAUAAUUUUCUUUUUAAAUACUAGGUAUUUACUUUUUAAAAAAACUGUUAAGAUUUAAUAUAAUAAAGAUUAUAUGUUUAGCUUUAUAUAUUCAUUUAUAUUUUUUUAUAAUAGAUGUAAUAUGUUUAUGGUUUUUUAAAUGUAAUUUUUAUCAUGAAUUUAGUGUAUUUUUUUAUAUUUUAUAUUUCAUGUUUUAUUUAUUUUUAAUAAAUUUUCUAAUGAUAUAUAUUUAUUUUGGAGUUUAGAUAACUUCGUGAAGCACCUUAUUUAAAGAUAAUAUAUUGAAAGGGAUGGACAAUUAAGUAUACAUGUCAAUAUGAAUUUAUUAAAUAGAAAUGUGUUUAAUAUAUUACAUUUUUAAUAUUAUAAACUUAACAGUUUUUUCAUGUCAAGUGAGGAAAUAAAUUGCAAAGAUAUGAGGACCUACUGACCUAUACAUGAAAAAAGAAAUGAAAUAAAGGCCCACUUAAUCCCCAAAAUAUUAUUCCCUCCUAAGCUCUACAUGAUUUAAAAUAUAAUUAGUUAAUUGUAGAAAAAAUUUAUAAUUUUUAUGCAAAUUAUUUUAUUUAUUCUUACUAAAUAUUGUAUAUAUUUAUGUUUUUAUUAAUGAAUAACAAGAAAAAAAAUUUGAAAAUUCAGAGUUAAUUUAAUAUAUUAAUAAUAUUAAAAAAAUAGUUUUAUUUAUUAUUAUAGAAAAAUCUUAUAUGGAGAAAAAGAGAAAGAGAGAAUAUACUACUAUGAUUGGUAAUACAUUAUGCUUAACUACUGUAGUCCUUCACAUUUUGCACUUAUGAUGUACCUGAAUAAGUAAUUUCAAAUUCAACCAUUAAUUUAUUUUUUUUCACGUGAACAGUCAAAUGUUGACCUAUCAUCUUAUCUCAAACAAUAGUCUUUAAUGGACAAACGUGACUAAUCGCGAACAUUAACUACGAUAGUUUUUUAAUUAAUCUAUUUUAUGUUGACUGUUUCAUCAUUAUGACACUUUGAUCGUCCAAUUUAAUUGGAGAGAAUUUCACUUAACUGAAAAAUUAAUCGUCUGGCUAUUAAUUUAUGGAACGAACGAAAUAUAUUAUAUAUUAUUAUUAUUAUUAUUAUUAUUAUUAUUAUUAUUAUUAUUAUUAUCUAAAAAACAUUUACUCCGACCUAUUGAAUAACAGAAUUUUUGUAAUCAACUCAAGAUGAAGUAUAAUUCAAAUACAAUCUUUUUUUAUUAUUUUUAUAUAUCUGUUAAAACCAAAAUAAUCAAAAAAAAAAAAUCAGACUUCAAAAUAAAUAAUCCAUCAAAUUCUAAUGAUAUUAUCUUAACGAAUUUGACUUCAAAAUAUUUUUAUUUAUUAAAAUUAAAUUUAAAUAUUUUUUAACUAGCUUAUUUAAUAAAUUGGAAUGUGUUGAGUUACAGGGAAAUGUGGUUGUUGUUGUGAUUGAUUAGAUUAGAGAAUUGAAAAUGAGAGUAGCUAGUGUGGUGGGUUCCUCUUGUUUGCUUAAGUACAUCUAAUUAGCUGGCAAUCACUCCUUUUGCCCAAUCUUACUUUCCUUGCUUUUCCUUUUCCUCCUUUCAUCUCAUAAAUCUCAUUAUUAUGCCAUCCAUUUACUUUACACUUUAUUUCUCAUUAUCAUUAUUCUUCCACUUUCUCUCCUCUUAUCACUUCUUCACACUACUCUAUUAUUACUUCACUCAUUCUAAACAAUCUUUCUAAUCCUUUUUUUUUUCUUUAUUUUAUAUGCUCAAAAAUUACAUUAGUUAUCGUACCACGAGGAUUAUUUCAUUAUCCUCUUAAAUAAAACAUGACUUUGAUUUUUCACUAUUUAAACGUUUGAGAAAAAAAAAUAUUACAUGACGGUAAAAGUUAUAAGAAAAAAUCAUUCUUGCACUCUUAAUAAAAUAUUGGCUACCACUUCAUUAAAACUAAACGUAUAGAAAUUGAAAGAUGCCAUUAUAAGAACUACAUCACCAGCUAUUUUUAAAUGUCAGUUAUAUAUAUAAUUCUAAAACAUUAUUAAUAAAAUAACACUCGACCUAUUUGUUUUAUUUAUAUUCCCCUUGCAUUUUUUAUAAUACAUUUAUAUUCAAAUUCUGUUUGAACUUGAUAAUAAAUUAAUAAAUUUAGUCACAUGUUUUAUUAGUAUUUAUUUAAUUUUAUAUUAAAACAACGUUUUCUUAGAAAAACAUGUUUUUAUAGGAUAAUUUAUAAUUGAGUUACAAUAAUUUUUUUAAUGUUAGUACUAUAUCAUAAUAAAAUCAAUUUUAACUUUUUAUAAAAAAAAGAAAAAAAUCUGCUUUGUGUUUUUUAAACUUUUAUUUUUAAUUUAUAUAUUGAGAGAGGAAAAUUUUAUUUUAAUAAAAAUACAAAUUACAUAUUUUACUGAAUUAAAAACAUAAUAGAAAUGAGUAUAAUUAACAAAUUAAGGGGAGUAUAUUUUAUUAAAUUUUAAAAACUUAAGUGUAUAUUUUAAAAUUAAAGGACCAUCGGUUUUAACCAAUAACAUUAGAUUAGAUAAGUUUAAAAUGUUUUUAAAAAAGCUUUCAUACGAUAAAAGAAAUGCAUAGUGAUAAAAGUUGUUUAGUUUAGAGCUAAUUCAAACUGCAAACUUUUUUCUCUUUCUUUUCAAAUUAGAAGUUAUUUUACUUAAUAAACGUAAAUAUCCCUUUAAUAUAUACUAGAUUGAGUUUGUGCCUAUUAGAUGCAUAUAAAUAUUACUUUUUAUUUUUAUUGAAGUUCUACAAUUAUUAUUUGUUAAAGUCCAGCAAAAUUUCAUAUUGUUAUAAUCGAAGUUUUUUAUUAAUUGAAUAUUGAAAACCUAUUGUAGUAAUCACUUAUUAUACCUACACAUAAUUAAUAAAUAAAUAAAAACUACUAAUAUUUUUAUAAAUUUAAAAUGUCUUGUUAGCUUUUUUUUCUUUUAAAUUAUACUCAUUAUAAUUUUUUUAUACAUAUAAGUGGGUACAUAAAUAUCAAUAAUAUUAUUAUACUAAAAAAAUAGGUAUUAUUAACUAUAAAAAUUUGUUGAGAACAUAAAAAGUUCAAUAACAUUGAUUUUUUGUUUGACGGACUAAAAUUUGUUCAUAAUAAUAUAAUCAAUAACAUCUAUUAAUAAAAUAUUAUAUUCUUAGAUAAUUACCGAAAAGAAAAACAUAAGUAAUGAGUCCUUUACAUUGUUGAUGAAGAAGAUGAAGAUUAUUUAGACAAAUGAAGAUGUCAAAAGUUUUUUAUUCUUUUUAUUGACAGAUUUAUCAAUAGAUAAAUUCAUUGAAUAAUAAACAUUUUAAUUAUUAAUCGUUAUUAUUAAUGAAUAUUUAGAUUUGUUGUUAUAAAAAAAAUUUACCUAUAAAAAGUCCGUUGAUAAAAUUUUUAAAAUCUAUCAAUAAAAUUUAAAGAUAUUUAAAAAAUUUAAUUUCAUUGAUAAUUGAAUUUUUUAUUGACAAAUUUAUUUUUUUAUAAAAUUUUAUAAUAAUUUUAAGAUUUUUGGAAUAUUAUAAUAUAAAUCAUAUAUUCUUACUUCUAAUUUUGAUUGUUUAUAAAUAAUGUUUUAAGGUCUACAAAUUAAAAUUAACAACAUCAACCUCCUCUUCUCAUUUUUUUUUAUCAUCAAACCUAAGUUAAUUUAUAUAAAUAAAUAUAGAAUCAAGUUGGUUGGAAUGUCGUGCAGAUAAUGUUAAGGUUGUUGGUUCGAACCCUAUACGAAAUGUUAUUAUAGACUGAGAGCCUACUGAUCGGGUAUAACCGAACACUAAGUCAAAUGGAACGACCAGACGAGGUACGAAAAAGGACUUCGUAGUCGAUCGGUCACGACAGCAAUUGAGGAGAGUUAAAACGUGAUAUUAAUAUAUACUAUUGAUGACUGGUUAAGGUUGACAUUAAUGAUCGUUAAAAGGUAAAUUAAUUGAUCAAAUUCUUUUAAACUCUAUAAAUGAGGAUUAAUUUCGAUGUAAACUCACUUUUUUUCCACAAUAGAAUUACUUUAAAACUUUCCGAAAAGAAGUAGUUUCAAAAUACUUUUUACAGGUCACCCCCUCAAACCGAUCGGUCACCAUAACAGAGAGAUGAGUGAACGCUCAGCUAGACAGAGUGUUAUGCAAGAGUCAUUCUCGUCCUAUUAGAGUAAAAACACAAACUAUUGUUUUAUUAUUUGUAUACUUAAACAAAUCUUUAUUAUUUUACCGACUAAACCAGUAAAAAAUUAUGCACAAUUUUAUUUGAAUUAUUUCUACUGAUACAAUUAAUGAGAAAAGGAAUGUUGUAUUCGAAAUGAGAAGCAUGAAAAGUGAUCGGGUAGCAAGAUGUGAGAAAUUUAGAUGGGGAAGUGAUUGUAGAAAGGGAUUAGCAUAGAAUAAUGAAUUAAAAGGGAAACACAUUACUGGUAAUAAUAGUAAUGUGAAGGGAAUAGGAAGACAAGAGAAGAUUAGUUGUGUUUUGGUUGGAAUUUAGCAACAGCGUUGUGGGUGGUUUUGUUUUGUCGAGCGUCAGUAGUGAGGAGGCGUGUGAUGCACGUGUACAGUUUUUGCGACAUUUGCAUGGAAAUGCAUGUACUCUUUUGUCAGUGUAUCACUGACACCUUCUACCAAACACACAUGCCCGACACCAUGAAAGAAAGUUUGUCAAUUUGAUUUAACCCACAACUUUGUCUUUCCCAUUUUCCCAUUAUCCAAUUACUCCUUCUCUCUCAUUCACCACAUCUUUACUUACCACCACUUCAUAAUUUUCUAUUAAACAUUCACAAACUUAUAACAUCUAUCUUACUUUAAUCAAUCAUUCUUACAAUACUCUCUUCCAUAAAGUCUAUAUGGAAGACCUAAAUUUUAAAUAAUGUUCCUAUAAUCUUGUGAGAUUCUUCAAGUUGAAUUUGUGUCCACUUUAAGAAAUCAAAUUAUUAUGAGUUCAUUCAUGAUAUUUGAUCUACUUUUAAUCUAACAUUGUUAAAUAUAUCUUCAUUAGUAUCUUAUAAUAAUAUCAUGAUAUUAUUUCCAUUCUAUCAUUCUUAUUCAUCUCUAUUUUUCUAAGAAAAACAAAGAGACUUAAAGAAAAUAUAUCAAUCAUUUAUAACUUAAUUCUUAAAUAUACAAACGCAUUAAUAUUUAUAAAUUGUUGUUAAUUAAUUAUAUCCACUCGAACUUAAUUACUUUUUCUAUGGUUUUGCUGAUAAAAGAAAAUACUUUUUUUUAUGGAAUAUAAUAAAACAUUUAAAAUAGAUUAUUCGAGGUAGAACAUGCUCAAAUUUGUUGUUUAUGAACUUGGUUCACAAAUAUUUUAAGGUUUCAUCUUAUUCUAAUCUAACUUAGUUAGAAGAGAAAUAAAGUACAAUUAAAUAAUAUUGUCUCUGUUAAUGAGGACAACUUUUUGUGAAUAAUUGAAUAAGCACAAGUUUAUAUUAUAUAGUGUGUUGUAACCGAUCAUAAUUACGUAAAUUCAUUUAGUUAAUUAAAUAAAACCACUUAUAAAUAAAAAUCAAACAUAAAAAUAUGUGAACGAAGAAUAAAUAAAGAAUUUAAAGAUUGAUCGAUGUUCUCAUUGUUUUUCCUCUUACUGGUGAGUGUUUAUAUAUGAGUGUUUCAAAAAAUAAUCAGUCAAAGAGUUAAGAAAAAGUUAAAUCUACAACCCAACGAGGAAGGGGAAUACCAUAAUUCAACAUUAAAUGUCAACCGAAUCCUUGAUAAGGUAAUGUGAUGUGAUCUCAAAAUAUAUGAGUACUUUUGUUUGAAAAUAAAGCUCUUAGGACUAACUUGUGAUGUGAUCUUAAAAUAUAUGAGUACCUUUGUUUAUUAGUUCAAUGUUAAAUAAUAUUAUUUUAACUACAAAAUUUAUUAUUUAAUUUUCUUACUUAGAUAUUAUGUAAUUGCUUUGAAAUAUUGAUUGAAUAUUAAAAAUUUAUCUUAUUAGCAAAGUAUAUUUUUUAUGUCUAGUUUAAACUGGUUUCAACUACACAUUGGUAAACAUAAAUAACAAAAGUAAACUUUUCAAAAGAAUUCACAUAGUACAUCUACUCAAAUUUUAAACGAUGUACACAGAUUUCUUAGUAUAAUUGAGUAGGUUUUGUACAAUAUUUUAGAAGGCAUGUAAUAUCGUUUAUUAUAUUAACAAUGUUAUAUGGUCCACUUUUUAUAUGAUAUCGAUAAAAAAUUCAAAAAUAAUUGAUAUUAAAAAGCCUCUUUUUAUUGCAGCAUGGUGCAAGGUUGUCCAAAAUUCCUAACAUUUUCUUGAAUUAUGUUGUUGAAUUUUUCUGCCUUUUAAUGACUUCAACAAAAACAAGAUCACAAUUUAUCAAAGAAUCCUUUUAAGAUCCAACCACGAGUUCUUCCUUAAAACUUGAAUUGAAAGAUCCUCCAAUUCAAGCAACUUAACAUUGAGAUUGCAUCACGAUGUAGUCGUUAGUCUAUUUUUAGUUGGGAGGUUAUCUAUUUUUUCCAUGCUCUAAAAAUAUCGUUAAAAUGUUUUAAUAACAAUAUUAAGUGGUAUUUAUCCUCACAUAAUCAUUUAACAUCACUUAAACCAUGUAUAUUAUAAUACAACUUAAAUAGUGUAUCAUUUAAGUUGAAUAGUCUAACCCAAUUUAAGUGAUGUAUUAUCUAAUAUUAAGUUUGUAGAGGAUAUUUCGUAUAUACAGAACAUUUUUUUAUUAUUUAUAUUAAUCAAUUUUUUUUCAACAACAAUCAAAUUUAAUGAGUUUAUUUUUGGUAAUACUAAGAAGAAAAGAGCAAAUUUAAACACAUAUGCAAGGUGUUUAUUGGGAGUUGAAGAUACUGAAAGUUUAUUUUAUCUUAAUAAUAACUUGUUAAUCUUGUGAAUAACAUAGGUAGUUUUUAUCUUACAUUCGAUUAUUAUGAAUUUGACUUUUAAAUAGUCUUAUUAAAUUGAUUUAUAUAAGUCUUACAAAAUUAGUUUAUAAGAUGAAAUUUACAUUUAUUUAUAUAUUAUAAAUUGUCUUAUAUUUGAUUGACGUGGGAGUUUUAAUACACAUCUUUCACACUGAAUCAUGUAUUCAUGGAAGGUGAGGCUAAAUAGUUAUAAAUGGUCUUAUAGUAUCUUAAUAGCAAGUACCAUAUAGAUCCAAUAAAUCUUAUUAGAGUAAACUCUUGUAUCAUCUUAAGAAAUGAACAUUAAACUUCAUUUAGUAUUAAAAUUGAUUUAUAAUAUGGGGUUUUAUGCUACUUAUAUACUAUAAAUUAGUUUUAUUUCUAAUAAACGUGAGAUAUCUAAGGCUAGUAAGAAUAACAUUUAGAAUUUAAUUGCUCCCUUUGCUAAAGAAAAGGUUGCAAAAGUUAUGUAAGCUUGAUCUUUUCUUCUUCUGUGUUUUUUUUUCUUUACUUAAAUACUAGAUAUUGUGGACAAAGAGCUUUGUCAGUAAAACAAUUGAAGAAACAUUUAAAAAUGUUGUGUAAGUAAACCUUUGCUUGAAACAUUUAUUGUAUUUAUUAUACGGAUUAAACAUGUUUUUAGGCUUUCAACUUUUAAUGCAAAAUUAAAAUUUUUUAUGUUGAAAACUUUGAUCCAUUUUGGUUCUUAACUUUAAAAAUGAAUGAAUAUAAUUAUUUUAUUUUUUUAGUGAAAUAUAUCUUAUAAUAAUAUUUGAGUUGUUUAAACCAUUUCACACCUAUUUGACACAUUUUCAUUUUAAUAUUAACUGAAAAAUGUGUUUUUCAAGUUAAGAAAGGUUAACUUAAUUGGAUUACAAAGAUUAUAUCCAUUCACUUUUAAAAUUUGGAGAUCAAAAUAUAUCUAGGACGUAUCCAAUUUUACAUCAAAAGUUUAAAGACUAAAAUCAUAUUUAACCUUUAUUUUAGAGAGGUCCCGAUAAGUAUUUAUAUAGUUUGAAUUUAUAAAAUGUUUGAAAUGCAUCUUAUAAGUAAGGUUUUUGUUUGAAGAAUACAUUUCUUUUUCACCCUAGUAACAAAUAUUUACGCACAAUUUUUAUUUUUAAAUCAAGAUUUCUUCGAAAAAUCAAAUUUGAAGUUACUUUUUACAAUUUCUGUUUUCAAAAAUCCUUUUCUCCUUUCUUUUAAAUGAAAAAUAAAAAAAAAAUUAAGAUUUUAAUUUCCUUAAAAAUAAUUCUAACCUAAAAAAAGUGAUAUAAAUGUAAAUAUUCGGCGUACUAUAUAUUAUCGAUAUCAUUUUUUAAUCCAUAAAUUGGGUGUAAAAACCUCCAUUGUUUCCCUGAUAAUUUUAUGAGAGAUUUUCAAGUAGCUUCAUUGGUAGAGGAGCCCUAGAAUUGUGAUGUAAAAUCAUUCUUGAAGUUUAAAUUGGCUUACUCAAAGGCUUAGCUGUCAGAAUAUUAAAAGAAAAAUGAGUGGUGCACGUGUUGGUGAAUUUUCAUUGGAUGAUCAACAGUAGUACCACGUUAAGUCCAUGAUCAACCUUGAGUCAUGCAUUGACCAUAGAACCAAAGUUGAAUAUAAUUUUCCAAUCAUUACCCAUCAUAUUAUUAUUUUUUACUUCUUAUUAUAAAAUAAAAACCUGCAUAUGCUUCUUCAUAUUUUUAAACACCAUAAUGGAGGAAGCCAAAUCUCUCCUAACAAUUCCCUUAAAUUGGAAUUACAAAUUUAUUUUGAUAAUUCAGAUAACAAAAAACUGAUAAAUAAACAUACAAUAUCAAAGUGAGACUUUAAUUUUAAUCAAAAAUAGGAUAAAAAAACAUCCAAGAGAUUAUAUUCAAGUUUUAUUUAAAAAAAGAAAAAUAAAAAACAAGUUUAUGCGACGUUUAUCUUUUUAAACAAAUAAUGAUUUUUUAUUUUAAGUAGUAUAUAUUAAAAUAUUUUUUUUUAUUUGAUUUAUUUUUUAAUAUUUUCCAUUAUAAAUUUAAUGCUGUCAGCAUACGCAUUUUUUCCUUUUUUUCUCUUAUGAAAUAUUAAGUCAGUUAUUUAUUAUUUUUAGUCAUAUUUUAUAUAGGUUUUUUGUAGAAUUAAAUUUAAACAUAAAAAUUAUGUAAAUUAUAAUGUUGGAAUAUAGUUAACAAUGUCUGAACCCGUUUUGUGAUUGGAUUUGAGAUCCCAUCUCAACCCGAAAUUUGCAUGUUUUGGGGUUGUUUGAUUGAUCCUGCAAAACUUUGUAAAGAAUAAAAAAUGAACUGAUAGAGACUAUUUAAGUUUUUCUUAUAUUAUAAAUAAGUUUUUAAAAUUUGUAAAUGGGGCCUGUCUUUGAAAUCAUGAGGCCCAAAAUCAGCGAAGCCCAAUCUCAUAUUCCAGGCCUAUUACAGGCUUAUUUUAAUAUAGCCCAGAUGGGAGUUACUCCCUGUACCUCCCCAAUUCUAACCCCCACCCCCCAAUUUUUUUGGAUUUUUUUUAAAUACAAAAUUAAUCUUUAUGUUUUUUUUAUUUUUACCGUUUUACACUUAUUUACUAAAGUUAACUUACUCUUUUACAGUCUGCCUCAGUCAAAACACACAGACUCAAAUUCCUCUCCUUCGUAUUCCCACCCCCACCNCCACCAAAGCUUUUGAAACGCUCCUCCUCCAAACGCUCUAUGCAACUCUCACUCUCCCAUUUAUACGUUAAAAAUAUAUUUAAAAAUAAUACAUCAAAACAUAUAAAUUCCAUUAUUAAAAUAUCUAAAAAUUAAUAUAAAAAGUAAACUAAUAAAACAAAUCUUAAAAAUAGAAUGGGGGGUGGGGGUUAGAAUUGGGGAGGUAGAGGGAGUAACCCCCAGCCCAGAUAUCAGAUAAGAAAUAGUAAACAACUUCAACUCUCCUCUUUCUCCAUGCUAGUGUGAACCAUGUUUUCUUGACUUAAAAUAUUUUCUAAUAUUUGAUAUUUAUUUUUACUUUAUAAUUCUUCUCUCUAAUCUUAGUUUCUUGAUUUCUUUAGUUUUAUUUCUACAUUAUUUUCAAAUUGUGUUUAUUUUUCUGGUGAAAAAGUUUAUGAAUUGGUUUUGCAUGAGUUUUAAAGGAUUUUAAAUGUGGAUGUACUAGGACUGUGUAAUUAUAUAUUGUUUUAAUUUAUUUGGAUAUUUUUUCUAAAUCAAACUGUUCGGAUUUUUAAAUUUGUAAUAGAAGCUUGAUUUUAAAGAAGAAUCACAACGAAAUAAAAUAUUGCCAUUAUAAAUUUAAUAAAUUUAAGUAACGUAUAUCUUUGUAAUGAUUUCGAGUAAAAGAUAAAAUAAGGUCAUUUUUUAUUUUCUAAUGGCAAACAAAUAUCUUGGAAUUAUAAAGUGUGUGAAAAAUACAUUUUUUUUUAAAUAGUUUGUCCGGAUUUUUAAAAUGAUUUUCGAGUAACAUUUAAUAUAUAUAUAUAUAUAUACCGUUUAUAUAUAUAUAUAUAUAUAUAUAUAUAUAUAUAUAUAUAUAUAUAUAUAUAUAUAUAUAUAUAUAUAUAUAUAUAUAUAUAUAUAUAUAUNUAUAUAUAUAUAUAUAUAUAUAUAUAUAUAUAUAUAUAUAUAUAUAUAUAUAUAUAUAUAUAUAUAUAUAUAUAUAUAUAUAUAUAUAUAUACCGUUUAUAGCUUCUUACAAUGAAUUACACAAAAAUCACAAUUGAUUAAAAGAUUAUGAUAUGCAUAUUUUAUGAUAACUAAAUUAUAUAAGUAUGUAAUUAAAUAUUAAGUUUUUUAGAUUGUUGGAAAUUGAUUGAUUGAUUUACAUUUAAGUGAUAAAUAACAUUAUUUACUUUGUAAUUCAUUUUCCUUAUCAUUUCUCACUCUUUGUCAACAUAAUAAAGUGUCAAAGCAAACUUAGAUAAGAUGAUGACAUACUAUAGGACAAUAGUCAACAUAGUCAAAACAAGUGUGUAAAAAAAUAAAUUUAAAAAGUCACCAUAGAGAAGUUCAUUUUCACAGUGGUCUUCUCAGUUCGACGGUUUAAACGCUAUUUUGUAGUCUAAGUAUAUGUGUUUGUGUAUAUUGUCCUAUCAAGCAAAUCUCACAGAAGAUAGAACUAGCAAGACACAUGAUGACUUGAACGGUGGAACUUCCUAAGUUCGGACUCACAUGUUAAACCAGAGGAUCAAUGAAGUUGCAAUUGCUAACAUAUUUCCUCACCGACCUCUGACCAAAGGGAAAGAGCUCACAUGAUGGUCUUUAAGUGUUAAUGGGUAUCUUAAUAAGAAAGACAGCGCCACUAGCAUUAUUUUGGAAGGACUCGACAAUCUUAUUGUUGAACAAGUCAUCCGCUUUAACUUUAGUGCGUUAAACAAAUAAAGUACGAGGACUUGAUUUACAAGUUAUAAUUAGCUCACGAGCUUUGAAUGCACAAAUUACACUGCUGUAGCGAUUCCCAACUUGUCAUGGACCAUUAGAACGAUUUGAUGAGUUUAAGACUAGUCAUGAUAGGUCCAACGUGCUAUCCAAACUAGUUAGCACUAAAAAGUCCAACCAAUACAAAACUCUUAUCCAAUAAACCCUCUUAACACUAAGUUGGGACUAGAGAGACAUACUUAAGAUUCCUCGGUCUCGCCAAGUUGGAUGACCCCCAUCUUGAAUUAUUUGAAUUUAGACAUGUUGCUUGUCGACCCAAUAGAAGCAAGCUCCAUAUGCAAGCAAACAACAUUUUACACUAUGCAUACCGAAGAAUUCUUCAAAAGUGGGUUCACUACCCCACUUUUCAAAUGUCUAAAUCCAGAAGAGGCACAAUACGCAUUUGCCGAGAUGUAUCGAGGCAUACGUAGGAUGCAUUUAGGAGCUAGAUUCAUGAUUGCACGAAUAUUCAAGGCAAAAUAUUAUUGCCCCACAUUAAGAAAAGAAGCUCAAGAGUACAUCACAAAGUUCCAAAAAGACCAACAAUUUAACCCAUUACAUUUAGUGCUACCUGAGAAGCUGCACACUCUAACCGCUCUCCAUGGCCAUUUGUUACAUAGGAAUAAACAUACUUGACACUUUUCCACCUAAUAGAUUAUUUCACUAAGUGGAUAGAACAAAACCAUUGGCCACCAUCUUAGUCCAAAAAGUUCAGAAAUUUUGUUGAAAAAACAUCACUUGUCGACACGGGCUGCCACACUCCACGGUUCUUGAGCCAACUUGACAUAAAGAACCGACCCUUGCAAGUUCAACAUCCUUAAGCCAAUGGGCAUAUCAAGGUUGUCAACAAAGUCAUCCUCACUGAGUUGAAGAAGAAGCUUAUGAAGUCUAAAAGGCCAUGGGCUGAGAAGACACCGACUAUAAAAUGGGGUUACCAUUACACUCCUCAAUCAUCAACACAUGAAACUUUCUUUUGAUUAGCAUGAUACUAGUAGAGCUCGGCGAAACUUCUUUGCAUUGCAACAUUUUGAGGAAACACACAACAAAGAAAACCUCUAAGCUGAGCAAGAUUUCAAAUGAGACACCAGAUUAUCUAAAUGUUAACAUAAGUAAAGUUCCCAAAGAACGUACCGAGUUACCUAGACAUUAACAUAAGUAAAGUCUUAAAAUGAGACAUCGAGUUAUCGAGACAAUAAUAUAAGUAAAGUACUUAAACAAGACAUCCAAUUAUCUAGAUGAUAAAAUAAGUAUACUUCUCAAACGAGACAUCAAGUCACUUAAACGAUAACAUAAAUAUAAACUCACAAACACAACAUCGAAUUAUUAAACACUAACAUAAAUUAAAUCUUUAAACAAAAUGCUAAACUACUUAAACAAUAUCGUAUCUAUUUAGAUUUAGUCUUGUUAUAUUAAAUUUUUUAUUAGAAAUUUCAUGUUAACUUAAAAUCAUAAAGUAAAAUUUAAUAUAAUUAUUUUUAUAAAAUCAAUUUUAUAAGAUUAAGUUAGUUCAAAAUUAAUGUUUUUAAUAUGAUAACUGUUUUAAAUUUUGAAUGGUAAAAUCAAGUCAAAUCACGCAAUAGUUAAUUAAAAUGAUUUGAAAUACCUCAUUUGACAAAAUAAUUUUUCAAUUAGUUUUUUUGAAGUUUAAAACGACUGCGUAAACAUAAAUUUUAGUUAUAUAAAAUAAGCGUAGCAAAAAAUAACAUUUGAACAUAUAGAAUAUAUUUAAAAUUUAAAACGAAUUAUUUAGCCGCUGUCACUUACAUCGUAUCAUAUUUUUAAAACGAAAGUUUUUCUUUUUCGGUUUAAAUCUUUUUUUUUUCCUUAAGUUAUAUGUUAGUGUUCAGUUUAGUCUCCGCUUUUAAAAAUGUCAACCUUUGGUUUCUAAGUUAUAAAAAAUGUAUCAAAUCAGUCCCAACCGUUAACGAAAUCAAUGAAAUAUGUAUAAAAGAAUACGGAUGAGACUGAUUUUAUACAUAUUUCAUUGAUUUCAUUAACGGUUGGGACUGAUUUGAUACAUUUUUUAUAACUUAAGGACCAAAGGUUGACAUUUUUAAAAACGAAAAUUAAACUGAACACCAAUUUAUAACUAACGGACCAAAAAAAUAAUUUAAAUCUUCUUUUUUUUCUUUUGAAAGGAGUUUAAAAAUAUUAAAAUUUAAUUUAAUUUCUAAUAUGAUUUAUUUCUCACAAUUUUAUUUACAUUAUCUAAAUCACUCACAUCCUCGGAUAACAUAAUACACCACACAUUAUUACAUACGAUUCAUUAUGUAACUACUAUUACGAUUGAAAGAAAAAUAUAUAAUAAAAGUGAAGAAUGUUUAUUCUUUACUCGUAAAUAAGUAAAAUGAAUGUAAUUGAUAGAAAAAAAAAAACUAUAAUAAUGUAAGAAUAGUGUGUGAAAUAGACAUUUAAAUGUGAUAAAAAAAGAAAAAUAUUGAAAAUGUUUAGUUAGAAAAUAUAGUUGUUGAUCACUUGCAAGGCCAGGCCCAUCCAUGCACCUAUCUUUGGCAGGCUAACUUCUAAAGUGUCCCAGUUCCCAAAAUUAAAUUGAAAGAAAAAAAGAGAGAGAUAAAUAUAAAAAUAAAAUCGAAAUGAAGCAGUUGUUUGGUAUUAAAAAAGCAUGAUGGGGAAAAUAAGAAUGCAAUCCUACUCAGAUUGGUAGUUGGAUCGAUAAGUGCAAAGCAAAGGAAAUGUGACGAAGGGUGGAAAAGAUGAUUGGGCUAAACCAAACGGAAGGGGGGCCCUCACCUGAUUAAUAGUCCACUUGGUUCGGUGGGCUAUUCACUCGCACGCACGCCCUACACGUACGGUCCUAUCUCAUCAAAACCCCAAUAACUAAGUAAAUAUAAAAACAACUUUUUCUCUUAUUCUUUAAGGGGUGGGCUAUGACCUUUAGCUCAUCCUUUUAUGAUCCUUCCCAUUCUCAUAUUUUAUAUCAAACAGGGUGGUGACAUGAUCAGAAAGUAAGUAAAGAAAAGAGAAUCUCAAAAAAAAAAAAAAGAAAUAAAUUCGAUAAAUAAUAAUAAUGGACCUCAAGAGUCCAAACUCCAAAUCCAACAGAUUUGCCCUAUUUUAAAUGUGUUUGAGAAAAACCUUAUCUCCCGAACCUGUACGAACCACAUUCCAAAUAUCAGAAACCCUCAAACUCGAAGGUCCAAUUAGCUCAUCGGGUUCGCUCCCAGGCCCAAUCUCCAUCUCUCUCCGGUGAGCCCUCCUUCUUUCUCUCUCUUCUCUGCAAAGCCCUAGAUCUCACUCCGGUGAGGCUCAGGCCUCGCUUUCUGCUUCGGAUCUACUUUUUACACUCCAAUCCUCUUCACGUAUAUAUAUUUGGUACCUCCCAAACCCUAGCUCUUCGAUUUCUCGGUUCUUCUUAUUUUUCUUCCUGCUAAACUCUUUUAAUCUUGCUUUUAUUGUUUUCCAGUCUUUAUCCAUUGUAAUUAGGUUUCUCUUUCUGUGUUUUGUGCUUUGAUUUGUCGAUCUUCAGUUUCAUGUCACUGGAUUGGCUGUUUCUGUGAUGGAAUGCUUGAUCUGGACUGUGUUUUUGUUGUUUUGGUUUUAUGUGUUCUCCUUUACAGUUUUUGCAGUGGUAUACCGUUGAAGAUCUGAUGUUCCAUCUUUGACUUUUGAGUUUGACCUUAUAAAUAGUUUGUGUGGGCUCUGUGAGUUGUGGUUGAUGGAGUGGAUGUGCUAUGAACGUCUUUCACUGACGAUUUUUGUUCACUUUGUACUGUUGAUAUUGAGCUCGUCUUUCACUGAGGAUUUUUGUUCACUUUGUACUGUUGAUAUUGAGCUCGGCUGAUCUGACCGGCUGUGGUCCCAUGCCUUUUUUGAUUUCGUGGACAGUGUUUGAUUUAACCUUGACCUAAAUACUUACUGAAUAUUAAAGGGUUGUAUGUAGUAGGAUGACCGUGGACAGCCUGUUGGGUCUUUGAUUCUUAAAACUAAGUAGGAUGCAAACCAAUAUUAAGGUGAAGGGGUCUUAAGCCAUGAUGGUGCCAACAAAAUAGGUCGCGGUUGCAAUACUGAUAUACUGGUCCAUCCAUUUUGUUGUUUUUGACACUAGUUUACAAUCCUCUUCUCAAACCUUACUUUGAAAGUUAUUUGUUUAUUCCAUGUCUUGUCCUCAACUCAAUCACAUACUCACAAAUUCCUGUUAAACAGGUGCUUGUUUUGGUCUUCAGUUCUCUCUUUCAUAACUGCCCUCUCUUUCAUAACUGCGCUUGUCUUUUAAUUCUUUUUGCUUGCUUUUUGGCACUCCAAGAUGUCACUUGUGCAGACAAUUAUAAUGUAUGUUUUGUUUGUUAUAUAUCCUGUAUAAUUUGAAUGGGAGUGUUGAUAUCUGAUAGCACAGGGAUCUCAUGUUCUCUUCAUAUCCUAGUAUGGUAUUAAUGUGUCUGUUUGGAGAACAUUUCCCGGUGGGAACUUACCAUUUCUUGAAAAGGAGAAUGAUUUUUAUUAUUAUCAUUCAUGUCUAUUACAUUGUCCUUACACCUGUUUGUAACAAUCUAAUCUUCCAAAAAAGGAAAUAAGGAAAAAAAUAUACUGAAAAAUAAAUUAGAAGAUUCUACAGAUAUUUUCUCUAAUUAGGAAUAUUUUCCUCUAAUUACAACACUAUUAAUUAGCAAUUUUAUUUCUAGGUGAAGCAGGAAGGUACAUAUCAAAAUAAAAUAUGGUUACUGUUGAAGAUAAAGUGGUUGCGAACCCUGAUGUGAAAAAUUCACCUGUCAGUACUGGUUUUCAACCUAGCAAUGAUCUGGUAAAUUCGGAAAAUCAGUCCGACCAUAAUGUGGAAAUAUCCGAGCCUCAGCCUGAUAAGGAUUUCUCCAAUUCCCAGGCAGAGCCUAACAAAGUACUUGUGGCAUCUGAAGUCCAGGCACCUAGUGGCAAUAAAAUUGAAGAUACGUUGCCCAAUGCUGAGGAACCUCCUAUCAGUGAGUCGGAGAAUCUUGAGACACCACCCAACAACCAGUCAAGCAAUGAUGAGGGCCCACACAACAAUCAGCAUGUUGAUUCUGUAGCAUCAUUUAAGAAUCCAUCAGAAAGCUCUGAAGAUGUAGCUGAUGCAAAGCUUGUUAGUUCUGAAGCUCCUCUUGACCAGAAGCCUGUGUCUGAGGCACCAUCAAGCGAUCAGUUGGUCACCUCCGAGACACUUCCCGAUAACGGCGUGGUAGAUGCUGAACAUCAGACCAGUAAUGAUGUGGUUGUAUCUGAAACACAGCACAGCAAUGAGGUGGUAGCAGAGCAAAACAAUGAGGUGGUUUUGCCUGCAACGGUUCAAAGGGAGGAGGUGGUUUUAUCUGAAAUACAACGAGGUGAUGAGGCAGUUUUAUCUGAAACACAAAAUGAGGCAGUUUUAUCUGAAACACAACGAGGUGAUGAGGCAGUUUUAUCAGAAAAACAGCAAAGCCAUGAUGCAGUUUUAUCUGAAACACAGCAAAGCCAGGAGGCAGUGUUAUCUGAAACACAGCAAAGCCAUGAGGUGGUUUUAUCUGAAACACAGCAAAGCCAGGAGGCGGUUUUAUCUGAAACACAGCAAAGCCAAGAGGCGGUUUUAUCUGAAACACAGCAAAUCAAUGGGGCAGUUUUAUCUGAAACACAGCAAAUUAAUGGGGUUGAUUUAUCUGAAACGCAGCAAAUAAAUGGGGCAGAUUUAUCUGAAACACAGCAAAGCAGUGGGACAGUUUUAUCUGAAACACAGGAGGUGGUUUUAUCUGAAACACAGCAAAGUAAUGAGGCAUUUUUAUCUGAAACUCAGCCCAGCAAUGAUGUAGUCAUGUCAGAUGCACAACCCAACAGUGAGCCACUGGUGUCUGACUCACUGCCCAGCAAUGAGAUAGUCAUGCCCGAGAGACAGCUCAGCAAUGAGACUGUCGUACAUGAGGCACAGACCAGCAAUGAUGUGAUAAUGUCUGAAGUUUUGCCUGAAAAUGAGACGGUACAUUCUGCAGGUGAUCUUAACAAUCAGCUCUCUCAUCCUGAAUCUCUUUCUCAGAAUCAUCAUUAUUCUAAUUUACACAUGAUUCCUGAAGAUCAGCUACCUCAACCUGAAUCACUGCCCAAUUCUGAUCCACUGCCUGCUUCUGAACCAGGCAGCCAUCUCACAGACAUCAAACCAAUAUCUCAUAAUCAUCUUGCACAGUAUGAUACACUACCCAACAGUCAUAUGCACCAUUCUGAGGCAGUGGCCAACGAUCAACUAGUAGUUCACUCUGAGGCGUUGUCCCAUGAACACAUAGCAAACUCUCAUUUGUUGCCACACUAUGGGCUGCAAAACAGUGAAACGAUGCUCGACAAUCAGUUAGUCAAUUCUCAACCACACUAUGAGAUAGUCAACGCUAGCAACAUACCCAGCUAUGAGAUAGUCAAUGCUGAAACUCCAUUGAACAGUGAGGAACCUACUCCUGAUACUCAGCCAAGCAAGAGGAGAAAAAAGAAGUCUAUAGUCUGGGAACACUUCACCAUAGAGACAGUCAGUCCUGGAUGUAGAAGAGCAUGCUGCAAGCAAUGCAAGCAAAGUUUUGCUUACAGUACUGGUUCAAAGGUUGCUGGUACUAGUCACCUCAAACGCCACAUUGCAAAGGGGACAUGCCCAGCUCUUUUACGUACCCAAGAUCAUAACCAGUUCAGUCCAUAUACUCCACGGUCAAGGGGAAGUGAUGCUGGCAAUGCUAGCAGUGCACCAAAGCGACGCUAUAGGUCCCCUAAUACUCCUUACAUAAUAUUUGAUCAAGAUCGUUGCCGUCAUGAGAUUGCUAGGAUGAUCAUUAUGCAUGAUUACCCCCUUCACAUGGUUGAGCAUCCGGGAUUUGUUGCAUUUGUCCAAAAUCUGCAGCCCCAGUUUAAUAUGGUUACAUUUAACACAGUUCAAGGAGAUUGUGUUGCAACCUACCUGAUGGAAAAGCAGUGUGUUAUGAAGUAUUUUGAGGGAUUACCUGGACGUUUGUGUUUGACACUGGAUGUUUGGACCUCAAGCCAGUCUGUAGGAUACGUGUUUAUAACUGGACAUUUUGUUGAUAGUGAUUGGAAGUUGCAGAGGAGAGUUCUUAAUGUUGUGAUGGAGCCAUACCCUAACUCUGAUUCUGCUCUCAGCCAUGCUGUAUCUGUUUGCAUUUCUGACUGGAAUUUGGAGGGCAGGGUAUUUUCUAUCACUUGUGAUCAGACUUCGAGUGAAGUUGCCCUUGGGAAUCUGAGACCAUUACUCUCUGUAAAGAAUCCUCUUAUCCUCAAUGGUCAGUUGCUGGUAGGAAAUUGCAUUGCCCGAACCUUCAGCAAUGUUGCAAAUGAACUAUUGGGCUCCGUGCAUCUUGUUGUAAAAAAAAUCAGAGACAGUGUAAAAUAUGUGAAGACUUCAGAAUCCCAUGAGGAAAAAUUCCUGGAGCUCAAGCAGCAUCUUCAGGUCCCCAGUGAAAGGAACCUUUUUAUUGAUGACCAAACCCAGUGGAAUACUACAUAUCAGAUGCUGGUGGCAGCUUCUGAACUUAAGGAAGUGUUUUCUUGUUUGGACACUUCUGAUCCUGAUUACAAGGGAGCCCCAUCAAUGCAAGAUUGGAAGUUGGUUGAGACCAUCUGCACGUACUUAAAGCCCCUUUUUGAUGCAGCAAACAUCCUUACCACGGCAACUCAUCCGACUAUUAUCACCUUUUUCCAUGAAGUUUGGAAAUUGCAGUUGGAUCUGUCUCGGGCUGUUGUGAAUGAGGAUCCUUUUAUCAGCAACCUUACUAAACCCAUGCAACAUAAAAUUGAUAAGUACUGGAAAGAUUGUAGUCUGGUUUUGGCAAUUGCAGUAGUUAUGGAUCCUCGAUUCAAGAUGAAGCUUGUUGAGUUUAGUUUCACAAAAAUCUAUGGCGAGGAUGCGCAUGUAUAUGUCAAGAUUGUUGAUGACGGGAUUCAUGAGCUGUUCCACGAGUAUGUGACCCUUCCCCUGCCACUGACCCCUGCUUAUGCAGAUGAAGGGAGUGCCGGAAGCCAUAUGAAGGCAGAGGGGUCUCCGGGAGGAACUCUGUUGUCAGAUAAUGGAUUAACAGAUUUUGAUGUCUACAUCAUGGAAACUAGUAGCCAUCAGACGAAGUCUGAACUGGACCAGUAUCUGGAAGAAUCACUGUUGCCACGUGUUCCGGACUUUGACGUUUUGGGCUGGUGGAAGCUAAACAAACUCAAGUACCCUACGCUUUCAAAAAUGGCCAGGGAUAUACUGUCUGUCCCGGUCUCAAGCGUUCCUCCAGAAUCUGUCUUUGAUACAAAAGUGAAAGAGAUGGAUCAGUAUCGAAGUUCCUUGCGGCCAGAAACAGUGGAGGCCAUUGUAUGUGCGAAAGACUGGAUGCAGUAUGGAGCAACCGAAGCUUCCAACGCGCUCGUGAAAAUGGAGUUCUAGAUUUUAUUCAUGUAUUUUUUUGGUUUACGUAGAGGGUGUGAAAGAAAACCUGCAUCAUGCAUCGCGCGAUAUUUGAUGAACCUACACGUUCUCAUUUAGGUGGUUGUACUCUCUAUGAUGGUAGGUUCUUGUAUUUUACUUGUAGUUUCUAGUUAUAUGUUAGCCUAUGUUGGUGACAUUUAAUGUGUAGAUUUGGACGUGAAUGCCUAUAUUCUAGUUUACUUCCCUGGAUUAGAUGCUAGAACAGAUGCCCUCCUCAAGGUGAUAUGUUGAUGUAAUAAUUUAACUCAAUAUUCAAUCACUCUAUUCAUGGGCUGCACUUGCUCUGGACUGGGCUAGUUUUAGCCCAUUAGUUUUAUGCCUCUCGCGUAUAGAUUAGGAUUUAAUUUCCCUUCUCAAGCAUUUUUUUUUUUGUGUUCGUCCAAGCCAUUCAUAUAAAGUGAAAACGUCCACUUGAAAAUUGUCACUGUAAGCUGAUGUAUAAUGUUACGUGAUGGUAUUAGAGAUUAGCAAAGACGGGCUAACCGUAGUUCAUCACAACUAAUGCACCAUUCGAUUGAACUAGGGAACCUUGGUGUCUGCAGGUGAGGUUUUUGGAUCAAGUUAAUGUUUUUCUGCGUAGUGUUUUGCAACUAUUGUUUGUAGAUAUUUAUGCAGAAAAUAAGUAUGUAAUAUAAUAAUUCAAACACAUGGUUAGAGACAGAUAAUGUGACAUCCCAAUUAUAUAGUAUACAUGUAUAUAAUUUAAGACGUCAUCAUAGAUAAUAUUUGAAAGCAGUCAAGAGUAGAGUAGUAUAAAGAUCAGGAUUACAGUCAUACAGGAAUUAAGGGGGAAUUAAAAGCGUGAAAUGCUAAACUAAUUCAAACUAGAUAAAUUGGAAAGUGUCUCAAAAUAGCAUAAUUUAGAAAUGUUCAUAGGGGCAUAACAGCCCAGAAAUUCCUAAAGAGUCUAGGCAGCGACGUCUUCAUUCUCCUCCACGACAUUCUCCACAGACACCUCAUUCUCUUCUGCUCACAUCCAAGAUGGAUGAUCAUCGCAACAGGGCAACACACAAUAUAGUAACACAACAGACAAACAAUUGCAAGUGUGAGCUAAUUAUAUAAAAAGCAUACUAUUAACAGUAAAUAACGUUCAAGAACAAACUCAAAAUCAAGUAAAGUAAGACACACAUCCUAUACAUGNNNNNNNNNNNNNNNNNNNNNNNNNNNNNNNNNNNNNNNNNNNNNNNNNNNNNNNNNNNNNNNNNNNNNNNNNNNNNNNNNNNNNNNNNNNNNNNNNNNNNNNNNNNNNNNNNNNNNNNNNNNNNNNNNNNNNNNNNNNNNNNNNNNNNNNNNNNNNNNNNNNNNNNNNNNNNNNNNNNNNNNNNNNNNNNNNNNNNNNNNNNNNNNNNNNNNNNNNNNNNNNNNNNNNNNNNNNNNNNNNNNNNNNNNNNNNNNNNNNNNNNNNNNNNNNNNNNNNNNNNNNNNNNNNNNNNNNNNNNNNNNNNNNNNNNNNNNNNNNNNNNNNNNNNNNNNNNNNNNNNNNNNNNNNNNNNNNNNNNNNNNNNNNNNNNNNNNNNNNNNNNNNNNNNNNNNNNNNNNNNNNNNNNNNNNNNNNNNNNNNNNNNNNNNNNNNNNNNNNNNNNNNNNNNNNNNNNNNNNNNNNNNNNNNNNNNNNNNNNNNNNNNNNNNNNNNNNNNNNNNNNNNNNNNNNNNNNNNNNNNNNNNNNNNNNNNNNNNNNNNNNNNNNNNNNNNNNNNNNNNNNNNNNNNNNNNNNNNNNNNNNNNNNNNNNNNNNNNNNNNNNNNNNNNNNNNNNNNNNNNNNNNNNNNNNNNNNNNNNNNNNNNNNNNNNNNNNNNNNNNNNNNNNNNNNNNNNNNNNNNNNNNNNNNNNNNNNNNNNNNNNNNNNNNNNNNNNNNNNNNNNNNNNNNNNNNNNNNNNNNNNNNNNNNNNNNNNNNNNNNNNNNNNNNNNNNNNNNNNNNNNNNNNNNNNNNNNNNNNNNNNNNNNNNNNNNNNNNNNNNNNNNNNNNNNNNNNNNNNNNNNNNNNNNNNNNNNNNNNNNNNNNNNNNNNNNNNNNNNNNNNNNNNNNNNNNNNNNNNNNNNNNNNNNNNNNNNNNNNNNNNNNNNNNNNNNNNNNNNNNNNNNNNNNNNNNNNNNNNNNNNNNNNNNNNNNNNNNNNNNNNNNNNNNNNNNNNNNNNNNNNNNNNNNNNNNNNNNNNNNNNNNNNNNNNNNNNNNNNNNNNNNNNNNNNNNNNNNNNNNNNNNNNNNNNNNNNNNNNNNNNNNNNNNNNNNNNNNNNNNNNNNNNNNNNNNNNNNNNNNNNNNNNNNNNNNNNNNNNNNNNNNNNNNNNNNNNNNNNNNNNNNNNNNNNNNNNNNNNNNNNNNNNNNNNNNNNNNNNNNNNNNNNNNNNNNNNNNNNNNNNNNNNNNNNNNNNNNNNNNNNNNNNNNNNNNNNNNNNNNNNNNUAAUUUCUAUUCCAACUUACUCAUCCACAACCCACUCACGCUCUCUGCAUUUGCACACACUUAACCAAUUAAUACACCCAAUCAUACCCUUCAGGCACUCAUAAGACACCAACAAUUACUUUAAGCAUACAUAAAAUCGCCACUGCAUACCCCAUUUUCCAAAUUCCACUCUCCAUACCAUGCCUUAUUUUUUUUUUUUUUAAUUUUAUUCUUUCUAGAACUUGUCUGCACCAAAAUAUUCUUGCUAAUUUAAAAAGACAACACCAUAACUAUAUACCCAUUUCCUGCGUCAACUUNUAAAACAUGUGCAAGGAGUUUAAACAUUUAUAUCAAUUAUGCUCUUAAUAUUUAAAUCAAACAAUCAUAAAAUUUCACAGAAUCAGUCAACAAUCAUGCAUAAGCAGCUUCUGAAAUUUUCCUUUCAAAACUAAAUCAUUAUACUAACAAGUUUUACUACUCUAACCUCACUUUAACACACAUAAAGUGCAUUUUAUACUUGACCAAAACAGAACAGCUAUUAUCAAACAAUUUAUAUGACCUAUAUCUCUAAAACCCUCGUUCAUAAAAAUAUCAAGGCAACCAAACACCAUGUACACAAAUUAGAUAUAUCAUCUCAUAAACUAAUUUCAAACAAAAAUAACUAGCUCCCCUUACCUUGGUUUCUCACAGUACAGUUCACAAGAGACGCUNUCACAACAACUUUAUGCAGCACAGGAAUUUACAGUACCUAUAUAUCACCGAAAUGGUGGAGGAAUAAGCUCUUAAAGCUAAGCUUUAAACAGGAAUAAAAAGAAGAACGCUCCUAGUUGUCUGCAGCCCAAAAAAAACAUUCCCUAAGUUGCGAAACAGCGGAGAAGAGGAGAAAAUUACUUACCGAUCCAAUCGAAAAUAUAAUUAGAUCAAAAGGAAGCCUUCGGUGUGGUGAACGCUUGAGCACCUUCAAAUCCAAGAUUGAACAGUUCAAUUAGUUGAAAAUCUAGAGAGAAGGCAUAGAGAAUUUAGGGAAAAGGGCUUCUAGAGAGAGAAAGGAAUAUUGGCUUAUGAAAAAUCUGAUUUCUGAAAAAGCCCCCUUCUAAGGCUAAGGUACCCUUAGUUUAUGGGCCAAGUUGCCUCCAUAUAGGGCCCAAUGGCUUUAUAAUUUCUCAUACCUUUACAUUCUCCCCAACAAGAAAAUUUUCGGCCUCGAAAAUUAAACUUACUAGAGAGAAGGAACAGCCUACUCUCGUCACAUCCUCUAGUACAAUCACCUAUUUUGACAAAGAUACUACUCCCCAACGACCUUACUAACAUUAAAAGUCAUGCCUUUGUGUUAAAAUGCUCUAGUGUUCAAUAGAGUAGAUUAGUUUAGCCAUUACUUUCAAGACAAAUAUGAACCCCUAAACUUUGGCUAGUAAGAAACUUUCUUUCGCACAACCAACCCCAUUAUGUCUGUCCCACUGAUAUCCACUCGUCCACCUUCCGCUACUUCUUCUAAUCUCUUCUAAGACUUCCACUAAUCUUGACUUCAAAUUAACCCUUGAUCGAUACUCAUUUACUUCCUCUUGUUCCUUUCAAGAACCCCAAACCUCUGACUUGAUCACCACAAUUUUCGAGUUAAUCAUCUAUUUGAAUCACCUUUAUCCACAUCCAUUCUGAGAGCUUCACAUUGCUUUUCUGAUCUUCACUACUGAGUAGCAUAGUUUCCUACUAUACAUCUCAUUACCAAGUAAAACUCUUCUCCUUUGCAAUGUCGAAACCAAUUUGAGCAAUCUAGCUUCACUUCGUUAUCUCACUGACCUGAACCAUAUGCACUUCUUAAUAUAAUAGCUUGUAAUCAUACUUAGUUAUGUAGCUUCCUCGACUUGAGAUCACUAGCCUAAUCCGUACCAUACUUAUGAUACCUUUCAAGCUAGGAUUGUCCAAAUUGCACUGUCUUAACCAUUUUGAGAAACCCACUAGUUAUAGUAUUUCAACUAUACUAGUGAAAUCUUUUUACCUCUUCACUUCAGACUUCAGUCUUCAAACUCUUCAACCGACUCUUAAUCAAUUCUUAUUAAGCUAACAACUUGAAUCUUCUUUCAGUUUCCACGCACAACUAACACUUGCUCACCUCAAAAUUGAUCUUACAACUUGAAACUUAUCCUCGUUCAUUAGUUUACCGAAAGAACACUUCCUUCAUGACAAUUUGCAACCCGAAGAUGAUCACCCUUAAAGAACCUUCUUCAAAACUUCCCUGACUUUGCAAAACCUCGGUAACUCUUUUCUUCCAUGAUAACCUUGUCAUUCCAUUUUCCUCAACACUGCUUUUCUUCUCCACUAAACGACCAUGCUCGAAAUCACUUCUGAUUGCCAAGACUUAUACUAGACUGUUCCAACCUGUCCUCUAAUUCUCUUCUGAGAUUCUUUAACCUUGUAGUUCUCCCUAUGAUUACUGAAUCCAAACUAUUGUCGUUUUAACCAAUCCACCACUUGCCUCUUGCAUACCUUACAAUUACAGGAACUAUCCCAUUAUGAACUAUUAACAUUGGUUAAUUGUGAACCCCACCAAUCUAAUGUGGAAAUUCUAGUACCUGCUUCAGAACGCUAAUCAAAGCUUACACCAAAAAGACUUGUCUUUUAUUCUCCACUUAUUCUUGCAAAUUUCACAAUCCUUUCUCUUCACAUAACCAUGUUAACCUCUUUUGAUUCUAACAAGCCCUUUUUCUUCACUUUCUAACUUGAUCCACAAAUGAUGUAUUUCCACUGACUUUCUUCUUGAAACACAAAGCUUUUCUUGAAGACCAUAAAGCGCGGGAGAACUAUUUUGAAACAACAAACCUCCCUUGAAUCACACCUCAAACUUACGAAAGAAUAACAUCAUCUCUUCUUCGCUCGCACUUAACAAACAUCUUGAAUUCCCAUAACACUUGCUUCUACCUUUUCGCUCAACUGUACUUGAUGCACCACCUUCGCUUUCUUUCCCUGCCAAGAAACCACUUCAUAUAAACUUUAAACCCACGCCCUUAGACUAACUCCAUAAACGUAGCAUCGCUUAGAAUUCUUCAAGCACUAAUCCUGACCAAAUUUACUUAAAACCUUCUCCUUCAAGAAUUGCCUCUUCAACCCAGAAUCUUUAGAAAUACAGACCCCAUCUUUAAUCCUCUGGACCUCAAGAUGCCCUUAACCAGCUAUACCAAUCCUCUGACCUUAUUUGAACUUACCAAUUCUCUGCCUUCUGUAACCCAUCAUUCAACAUUCUCUUCUAUCUUGAUCAAACACAGCCGACCAUUAAACAUCACCACAAAACCACAUCCAACGAAAACUAACUUUACCAAUCUCUACGAUCAUUCUCAAUACCCGCUUUAGCUGAUUAUAUUGCAAUCACUCUUUUUCAUGCACUUCAAAAACUUUUCUUCAUUAUUCCUGAUGUGUUUCUUCCUCCGGUGCUUGAAGCCUUCCACCUCAAACCGAUAUCAAACAUUCCUUCUAUGCGAAUUACUAGUAUUGAAACAUCGUCCUAAGCUUGACUAUGAAUCAUUCACUUGCUGAGAAAGCUUGACCACUCCUUCCAAUUAUAUUACUUAACUCCAACCUUUUCGAUACCUCAUUCUUCUUCAAAGACCUCAUGUUCUUAACUUGAAAAUUCUACCUUCUACUAAGCUCUCCUUAAUAUGCUCUAUGUCUUACACAACUAUUUCUCAAACUCUUCUUCUUCUUCUAAUUCCUUUCCAAAAAAAAUUGAUUCCCUUUAUUCCACUUCAGAAUUCUUAUUCUUCUCUUAACUUAAGCUUCAAAUCAUCCACCACUUCUCUUAUUCAGAUUUCAACCAUCGCUGAUACACUGAUCCAUGUUACCCAUCUCACCCAAUGCCACUCCGUUGCUCACCAACACUUCCUUUCUUUUGACCUCUGACGUUACCGAUACAUAGAACCAAACAUUGCCACACCAAUACCCAUCUAAAGCUCCUCUUAUUCUGGUCUUUGAACUCAACUCUUGUGAA